RNAcentral lists this long non-coding RNA (44609 nucleotides) under Vitis vinifera (wine grape). Its description in RNAcentral is "long non-coding RNA (VVIN_LNC001392)". The record is from RNAcentral. Lineage: Eukaryota; Viridiplantae; Streptophyta; Magnoliopsida; Vitales; Vitaceae.
UACAAAGAAGUUCUAAAAGACUACAAGAAAGAGUUUCCACUAAAGAAAAACAAUGAAACCAUUUCUACUAAAGACAAACAAUGAAACCACAGAUGCUUUGUGAAAUAUGUACCCGCACAAUCCAACAAACUUUAGAAAUUCACAAACACUACCUAGAAUUUUUGCUGACCAGCAAAAAAUUUAUGCAAUUUAAUUCUUAUUGUUAUUAUUAUUUUCAAUGUGAACAAAUAUGAUUGAAUUAUGAAGUAUUUGGCCAGAAGAGGAUCUUGCCUAAUUAUAGUCAUUAAACAACCAUUUAUACCAUAGCCUCUAGACUUUAAAAAGUUUAUAAAACUCAAGGGCUUCCACCCAAUUUCUAGAUAUCUCCAUAACAUUCUUCUGACUAUUAGAAAGCAAUUACCACUUUAAUUUUUCAUUUCAUGAGUGUUCAAUUCAGAAAAAGACCAGGAUCGAACUUGCGAUCAUGCAGUCGAAAAUCCACCUGUGCAUGAAACUAUUGCCUCACGAUUGCAAACUCAAGUUGGAGUCCAGUAACAACUCUAGGUUUGCUGAUGUGCUCCAUUUGAAAUAAAGGAACUAAAGAAUACUUUAUAAAGAUUAAUUACCUUCAUAUUUUAGGUUGGGGUUAAGGCAAAAUGUGAUAGAUUGAGAGGAAGAAAAUAUAUCUUGUUCAGGAAGCCAAUAUUUUGGAGUUCACCUUUCCAUUCGAGUCCACUCUGCUAUAGCAAAAUCAGAGUCACAACUAUGCCUCUUUAAGCUAUCCUUUAAUUGGAUGAAUUGCAGAUUUGGUUGCUGAGAAAGUGGAUAAGAAAGAAAAAUGCAUACUGUAGCUUGAGAUUAAGAGUUUGUUUUCUAAAAUGAGAGAAAGGGAAAGAGAAAAAAUGCAUAUUGUAGCUUGAGAUUAAGGGUUUGUUUUCUAAAAUGAGAGAAAGGGGAAGAGAAAUGUUCGACAACUUUGAGAUGACAAAUUUUUAGAUUUGGAAAAUUUGAGAUGAGUCUCAGGUUUUUUUUUUUUUUUUUUUGUCUUUGUCUUUGUUUUUUUUUUUUUUUUUUGUUUUUUUCCCAAAAACAACCUGUUAAUGUGGUUGUUGACAUAGAAGUGGGUGAGGGCAAAAUGGGCAUAGAAAAAAGAGUCAACACAAAGUGCACAAAACCCAUAUUAUUUUCCACAUUAAUGACUGAUUCUCAUAUUUCUUGUUCUUGGGAUUUGAAAACCAUAUUAUUUGCAAAUGGACCUCCCAAAGCACAGGUUUCCCUUAGUUUUAUGUCUCCAUCUACAUUUUACAUAUAAAUAGAUUAUUUUAUAAAAUUUGUUUUGUAGAUAUAUUAGUUAAUAAUUAUAUAAUUAAUGAUAUAGAAAACAUAUAAAAAUCAUAUUUAAAAAAGAUAAUUACAUAUUCCUCAACAAUCCAUCCCAAGAAUUCGAGGUUGAGUUGAAAACAUGUAGAGUCUUUGAUGUUAUUAUAAUCAUAUCCAACACAUAUGAUUAUUGUUUAUGAGAUAUUAUUAGAAAGUUUGUCUUAAAAUAAUUGAUUUAUUACCCACCUUUAGCAAAUGCCCAUUUUUGCGUCUUUCAAAAUUUUCAUUUUUUUUUUGUUUAAAAGAAGUAUUGUAAAGAAUGAUGAAAUAAGAAAUUUGUUGAGAAAGUGUGAGUAAAUAAUUUUACAUAAAAAGAGAUUUAAUACUUGAUAAAUAAAAUAAUAAAAUCAUGAUUUCUAGUUGUAUAGGGCCGGGUGGAUGGAGUGGCUAAGAUGUAAUUCUUGAAAUAGAGGAGACAACAUCAAUGUAUAAAAGUUUAACAGAGAAGGAAAGUGUGUUUGAAUGACUUUAUUUUCUUCAUUUAAAGUUUUGACGAUGAGUGUUUAUACAAGAUAAAUUUUCAAAUGAUAGGACUCCUAUUUACAUGGAGUUUGUGAUAUACUAUGAUUAUACAAAUUUAAAAUUCAAACAGAUUCAUGAGUUGAUAGGAGUCUGCUCAAUACGCCCCUUCAAAAUGGUGGGAGAUAGCACACCAAUCUUGACUCGAAGGGCCUAAACUCGUGCAGAAGAUGAGGGCUUUGUUAGAGCAUCGACAAGUUGAUCCGUGGUUGACAUAUGGGACACCUUGAGCUCACCUGAUUAAACCUUGUUUCAAACAAAAUGAAAAUCAAUCGCCGAUGUGUUUCAUGGAGAGUGAAACAUGGGAUUUGCACAAAGAUAUGUUGCACCCACGUUAUCACAAGAGAUAGGAGGUGGUGAUAAAUUUGAAACACUAAGUUUUGAGAGAAGAGAAUUAACCCAAAGAACCUUUGAGGCUGUAGAGGCCACGACGUGAUAUUUCGCUUCAGUGGAAGAGCGUGCUAUGAACUUUUGUUUCCUCGAUGACCAAUACACAAGAUUGUGACCAAGAAAAACAAUGGGAGCAUUGGUGGAGGAUCUGACAUAAGGAUUCCUUGCCCAUUCAACAUUCGAAUAUGCAUGUAGAUUGAUGGGCGAUUUCUUAUGCAAGAACAGACCAUGCACCAUUGUGCCGACUAAGUAUCUAAGCAAUCUUUUAACACAAGACCAAUGUGUUGAUGUUGGAUGGUGCAUAAAUUGAGAUAAUUUAUUCAUCAAGAAGGUGAUGUCAGGGCUAGUAAGAGAGAAGUAUUGAAGGCUUCCAACAAUUGACAUAUAUUUAGUGGGACCAGGAAAAGAGGUGUCAUCACACAGAUUUGGAACAUUGUUGAGGAACAUCAAUGAUUGAACUGGUUUGGUAGCCACCAUUUGUGUUUUCUUAAGAAGCUCUCGAAUGUACUUGAGAUAAAAAUAAUCCUUUGGAAGUAUGUAUCAUUUCAACACCAAGAAUAAAAGAUGAAGUCCUGAGAUCCUUAAUGGAGAAUUUGACUGCUAAUUGAGAGAUCACGCGAGCACGAAAAACAUUAUUGUUACUUGUUAAAAUAAGAUCAUCAAUAUAAAUAAGUAGGUAAACAAUGAGACCACUCUUUUUAAAAAUGAAGAGGGAUGUCUCGGUUUAGGAGUUGACGAAGGCUAUUGAGAGGAGAAAUUGGCAAAGUUCAUGAUACCAUGAUCGUGGAGCUUGUUUAAAGCCAUAAAAAGCCUUACAAAGUUGGCAAAUGUGAUGAUGUGUGUAUUCGUGAACCCAGGAGGUUGAAUCAUGUAAACAUCUUCAUGAAGUGUCCUAUGCUAGAAUGCAUUAUUAAUGUCCAAUUCAUGAGUUGAUAGGAGUCUGCUCAAUACAAUGUGGGAGUGUGAUUUCAAAAUUAGGGUAAUUUCGAAAUGGAUUUUGUAUUCACAAGUUGAAUUUCAAAAUUAUUUUGAAAUGGUCUUUUAACUUUAAGCAGUUGUGUUCAAAAGGUCAUAACUUCUUCGUUUCAAUUUUGAUUUACACAUUGUUUAAAACAUUGGACUCUUUACUUCCCGAGCUUCAAAACGAUAUAUAGUAUGCUCAAAAAUGACAUCAGGAUUGGUUCAAAUUUCAUCUUGAUAUUAGAGUACAUGUUGUGAUUAGAUUUUGAGUUCCAAAUUUCCAUGUAAACUUGAUUGCAUUUGCUUCAAACCUCCUUCAUUAUGGUUGCUUGCCCUCUAUCUCACUUUGCAACAUUUGUUACUAGUAUUUUAUGUCCAUGACUUACUCAUUUCAACCUUUCUUGGAUUCUUCAUGGUUCACAAAUUAUGGAUUCUUCAUGGUUCACAAAUUGAGUCUUUCAAUUAUGCAUGUUUAACUCCUAUUUCCUUGGUUGAUAAUGACUUUUACACUUAUCAUUUUCUUUUAUUCUUUAAACCUGAAUUUAGACUUACAAAAAAAAGUUAGAUCCAUAACUAGGGUCUUAGCAUCAAUUUGAGUUAAGUUGGAUGAUUUGAAAAUUUUAUAUUACAUAAAUCAUAUCAUACAUGUGCCAUUGGAGUGCACAUUUUGGCUCUAAUCAUGUUCCAACCCAUUGUUUUACUCUUGCAUGAAGUAUGUGGCCAUUGAUUUUAAUUUUAUUUGCGAUUAGGUUCAAAAUGGUGCUUUUGUGUUGCUCAUGUGUCAUCAGAAGAUCAACUAAUGGAUUCUCUAACAAAACUACUACAUCAUAGUCAUUUUUUUUUUUCUUAAGACCAAGAUUGAGAUCUCCAAUCGGAGCCAACUCCAUCUUGGGGGCAUGUUAGUGAAAGAUAAAAUUUAUCUUUAAUUUAAAUAUUAAUAUUUAUCAGUUAUUAGUUUUAAUUAGAGUAAAAGAUAGAGUUUAAAUUGGAGUAGGAGAUAAACUUGUGUUUGAACUAGAAUAGAAGAUAAAGUAUAAAGAUUUAUGUUUGAAUUAGAAUAAAAUAUAAAGUUUGAAUUAGAGUAGAAGAUAAACUUGUUCUUUAUUUGUAUAUAAAUAUUCAUCAAUUCUUGAGAAGAAGAUUAUUUCAUAGUUUUUCUAUCUUCUUUUUUCUUCAUACAUAUCUGCAAGAAAUUGAAGAUUUCAAGUAAAAUAUUUUCUGUUUUAAAUAGUGAAAAAAGCUAGAAAUUCACUUUGUUAUCUCUUGGGGUAAAUUGACAAGGUUUAACGUUAAGAAGGUGAAUUAUUUUUUCAGAAAAACUGAAGUAGCUAGGAUAUCUGGCCAGUUGUGAUCGAUAAAAAAGUUGUAAAAUCUCUCAUAUACUAAACAGGUUUUGGAUGUUGGUAUGGUAAAUCCAUCUGCAGUCAUUCGUCAUCUCAUCUAGUGAGAUGUUUGGGAGGUGGUGACCGCCGGAUUGGGUUUCAUUUGGUUAAAUCUGUCAGUGGGUUGGCUACUACCCGAGCCUCUUGCUUUGGGGGAGGUGGGUUCUAGAUAUAAUGUUCAAACCAUUUUAGUUAUCAUAUGCAUGACAUGUAAGCAUAAUCUCUUUAUCACUUCUUCAAUGGGAGUUCAUGGUUAGGAAUUGACUUCUUUUCUUCUGGGAUGCUUGGCAUGUAAUGGACAAAGUUACUUUUAUAUCGAUCGAAUUUCUAGUAUUAUAGUGAAGACUUACCCUUUUGACAUUUUAUAUCGAAUUAUAGAAGAUGAAAGGGACAUACAUGCAAUCGACUGACGCUUUAGUGAAUAUGCUGAAAAUAUGCUGAUGCUGUGGAGAUCGUAUGAGGACAGAGGAAAAAGAUAGAAAUGGAUAUAUAAUUAGACCUAGGUUUUUAUUAAAUGAGAUGGGGAACAUAGAGUGAGGGAAAAUCAAAAUUUUUGGCUGCAGUUCACAUUGGUGAUAUUUUGGAUUGACAAAGACUAACGACUUUUCUAUUUUUCUUUUCGGCCUGACUGGAUAGUUGGACAUGGACAAUACAGAAUCCACAGAAGGAUUGUUGGGACCGCUGAAAAUUAGCUAGAAGAAGCUGAGGAAGUAGUCUACGUAGUCAAAUACCAAACACAAAGAAAGAAAGAAAUGGAUAUCAUGGAUGCCUAGAGUUAUACUCCUAAUACCGUCACAGGUAUUUUUCUUUCCUCCUUUUUUUUUCUACGAUAAUUAGAGCAUUUCUCCUCCUCCUCCUCCUCCUCCCCCCACCCCACCACCAAAAAAUAAAAAAAUAAAUUAUUGCAAGUAACACUUCAAAUAUUAAUUUAUACAUUCUAAAGUAUAUAUUCAUGAAAUAACUUGAGUAUCAUACAUUAGUUCUCAAAAAAAAAAAAAAAAAAAAAAAAAAAUUACUGGAAGAGAAAAGUUUAAGAAAACAUAAAAAUAUUCAACUACUAUUUUAAAGAGAAAAUUUAAUUUUUACACUAUAAAUUUGAAGAGAACUUUUACAUGCAUCUUAUAUAAACUACCAUUUUUUGCUAAAAGGCUUAAAUUUGUCAAAAAUACCCCUUAGGUGCUUAACGUUCUGGUCAUAAUAUAAUUGGCAUCUUUUCUCAAACAUAAGGCCUGUGUGUGGGAACAAGAUUUAAUGUUAAUGAGCUUCGCCACCGACAUUUAGUUCCAGAAAUCAUUAUUUUAAUAGAGUGGGCUCAAUUUACAACUUUAAUUAAACUCUAACCAACUGCAUUGUGAAAUGAAUAUGUUUCUUUCGUGGUGAAUCCAAUGAGUUGGGAGUCAAACUUUGCUUCAUUGUGUAUAGAUGAAAUGUUAAGACUCCAUGUAACCUCAAACAUUUCCGCAAUNNNNNNNNNNNNNNNNNNNNNNNNNNNNNNNNNNNNNNNNNNNNNNNNNNNNNNNNNNNNNNNNNNNNNNNNNNNNNNNNNNNNNNNNNNNNNNNNNNNNUUCUUUCGUGGUGAAUCCAAUGAGUUGGAGUCAAACUUGCUUCAUUGUGUAUAGAUGAAAUGUUAAGACUCCAUGUAACUCAAACAUUUCCGCAAUGAGCGGGAGUUCUAAAUUUAAUAAUUGAAAUUGUCAGUGGAACCAGUGGACAAGAGUUGGUUUGUGGUUGACAAACUUAUCCGUUUGAUCUUUACUUGAACAGUUCCAGUGUGUGGAUGGGUACUGAUGAAGUGUGCGCAUUUAUUUUGAGAAGCCUGCUUGUUCGCAUAGAUUUUAACGACAUGAACAUUGUGGUAAGGUUAGAGAGUAAUGCGAAUGUAGGAGCUUAUAUUAGAAAUGACACAAACACGUAAAUAGAAGUAAUCUAUAUAUGAUAUUACUCAUGGACUACAAGCAAAGAAGUACAAUACAUGGAGUAAGUGAUGAAAUGAGCAUUCCUCACUACUACUGCUUGACUGAUGGAACAUGAUGCACGAGAUAGCAUAAGUAGUAGUAGGAAGCAGCUCUUAUUUGUGGCGUCGGUAUACAUCAUACUAGGUAGAUGGUUCAAUUGGCAUGGAUGGGUGGUGGAGCCUUGAAGUGCUUGUGAUGGGGAGCCCACGGCUUCUUCUCAGGAGUUGGUGGCUUCUUGUAUGGAGUUGAUGGAGGUGUUUCUACUGGAGGGUGGCCAGGGUAGUGACCCUGGGGUGGUGAAGGUUCUUUUGUCGGUGGUGGCCUCACUAUUAUUGGCGGUAGAGUUGGUGGCUUGGGCGUUGGCGGUGGUCUCACUACUCUUGGGGGUAGAGUUGGUGUCUUGUGUUUUGGUGGUGGAGGUGGCUUAACAGGAGUUGGUGGCUUGUAUUCUGGGGGUGGUUUCUCCACCGGAGGUGGCUUAUAAACUGGAGUUGGUGGCUUGUAUUCUGGGGGUGGCUUCUCCACUGGUGGUGGCCUGUAAACAGGGGUUGGUGGCUUAUAUUCUGGGGGAGGCUUCUCCACUGGAGGCGACUUAUAAACAGGGGUUGGUGGCUUGUAUUCCGGGGGUGGCUUCUCUACGGGAGGUGGCCUGUAAACAGGGGUUGGUGGCUUCUCCACCGGAGGUGGCUUAUAAACGGGGGUUGGUGGCUUGUAUUCUGGGGGUGGUUUCCCCAGUGGUGGAGACUUGUAAACAGGAAGAGGUGGUUUGUGCUCAUAUGGGGGUGGCUUGUGGUCAUUAGCAAGUGAGGGAGUGGUGAGGACCACCAAUCCAAGGAACAACACGAGUGAGCAAGCAGAAGACAUGUUUGGGCUCUGGUGAUGCACAAGUAGAAGAAAUGGGAACCAUUUAUAAUGCUUCGAGACCUUGGUUAGCACCAAAAUAUGUCAAAAUCUUGAUUACUUCAUUUCAUACAUAGAUUUAAAAUUAUUUCAAUCAACCAUGAUCCUUAAUUUUCUGGGUGGUCCAUAAAUGUAAUGGGGUCAAUUUGGGACCUAACAAGCUGAGAAGUUUGACAAUGCUGCAAGGCUUCAUCCGAAAGUCCGGGGAAGAAUAUUAGGAGUUACACUCCGUUUCCUUUUUUGGGUGCAUUUUUCUCCUUUAACAUUCUAUUCCCUUUUACAUUAGCAUUUGAUCUUAGCUCAUUUCAAGUACAAGUUUCUUGAACCCUAUACCAUUGUCAAAGUUGAGUAACCAUCUCUACUUUGCUCAAGAAACAUAAAAGACAAUGACAAUAAAGAAAAAGGAGAGAGACCAUACGUGACUUGGUUUAUAGGUGGCUUUGUGUUGACAUUUGAGUAUGGAAGCCGACAUGCAUCUUAGCUUCGAUUUUAAUUAAAUUUGUACAUUAGUGUCUGUGUCAUUCAUUUUGGUAUAAAAGGUCUCUUGAUUUCGUAAGUUUGGUAAGAACCGUUGAAAAUAGCAGUAGCAGCACAUGGUCCACUUUCUUUCACAAAAUAAUUUUAAAAGUUUAGAAGCAUAGGAGGUAACAUUAGUGGCCUUGUGGCUCAGCCACGAGUACUAUGUGGUGCUCGAGAAAUUGAGUUUAAUUUCCUUCCGAUAGUUCAUGAUAAGGUCCGUCACUGUCCUGAGACAGAUUGCGUUUUUUCUUUUUUCCUUUUUUAGUGUUUUAUUGACUAGCUAGGUGUGACUUUUCCUACUUUAAGGCACGAGGCAGAAAAGAAACUGGGAUUUAGUGCUUAAGAAGGCAAAUUUAAUUCGAUUUGGAUCUAAAAUUUGCCAGCAACAUGAGAUUUUCCAGCCUAUCGUUGCUCCACAUAUAGACAAGGCACUUGUAGAAGUGGCUUGUUUGUAGCCAUUCCCGAUAUUUGGACUCACUUGAUUCACCGGACACUUUGAUAAAAUUUAAUAUUUAUUAUUUAAUAAUUUAAAUUGAUUUAAAAUUAAAUUAUACCGAAGUUGUGAUUUAAAAAUUAUUAUUUAAUUCUUACUUUUAAAUAUGAAGAUUAUUUGAUAAAAAUAAUUUAAAAUUUAUUAUAAAUUAUCAAAUUAACAUAUUUAUCCUUAUAAAUUAUAAUUAAAACAGAAAAGGUCAAAUGAUUUGAGUAUCCAUAGAUGUGGUAAAAUAAUAAAAAAGAUUAUAAAAACAAUUAUGAUAAAUAAAGAUAAAAAGUAAAAUGAAUAUGUGAAUUUAAAGAAUAAAUUAAUUAUUUUUAUUUAUUACUUAAAAUUAUUUUUGACUUUAAAUUAUAUUAUUAAAUUAUUUUACCAAACAUACUUAAUUUAGUUAAUAAUUUAAAUUUAAUUUAAGUUAUUAAAUUGAUUCACCAAAUACCCACUUAAUCAAAGACUGAAGUAUACAUUAUUUGGCCAAAUGCAGCUAUUGAAAUUUAACUUUUUCCAAACUUAUUCAUUUUGUGGAAAUAUUUUUAGAAAUGAUUUUAAAAAUGCACUAUUCUGUGUGUUGAUUUUAUAUUUUGGCAUUAAUCCAACAUAGAAAACGGUUCUUAUUUUCGCUGUUAAAUAGGUACCAGAUCCUUAAUUAGUGCCGUGAAUCCGGCAGCUUCCAAUGAGUAAUUUGGACUUGGGUAUUGACAAUGUGUGGCCAUGCUUCUACUAUUUUAUUAUUCUUGAAACAUAUAUGAUAUAUUGGACUUUAUACAGGGAAAAAAAAAAAAAAAAGUCUUCACCAAAAAUGAUUCCUCCUAAAAAAUAGACUCCACAAACUAGGUUUAACAGGAAAAUGAUUCUAAUCUAGUAGUUUCCAGCCACAUGAGCAUUUACGUAACAAUAGUAUAGUUGAUAACGACUUUUAUUUUAUUUAUUUUUAAAUAGUUAAAGGGAUAAUUUUUGAGCUUAAAUUUUAUUUUUUUAUUUAGAAACAUUUUACUUUAUUUUUUAAUCAUAAUUCUAUUAUAUUAAUGUUUUAUUUUCUAUUUUUUAAUAUAUAAGGAGAUACUAAAUUUAUGUGAUUAUUUUUUAAAAAUUUAGUAUAUGAAAUUAAAUAAUUGGAUAUAUAUACAUAUAUCAUAUAAUGUUUUUUAAGUGUGAUUUUUGAACUUUUUAGUCAUUUUAUAAGUUUAAGCUUUUGAUUUUUUUUUUUAAACUUUGGUAUUUUUUAUUUUAUAUAAAACUAUUUUGAUUUAAUUUUAUUAAAAAAUAUUGGUAUUAUAAAUUAUUGUAUUAAUUAUUUUUUUAUAUUAUAAUGUAACUGGUAUAUACUAAAAAAUGUAUGCAAGUUCAAUUUAAGUUUCAAAUUAAAAAAUUUCAUUUAAAUAUUUAAUAACUUGUUCAUAAUAAAAAAUUAAACAACAUAAUACAAAUGAAAAGAAACAUAAAAGAAAAAGGAAAAAAUGGUCCUCUCUGUGUGUCACAUUACUAGGUCAUCCUCUUUUUCUAUGACCCUUACAAUAGAAUGGCAUAUUUGUCAAAUCUACUUAUGAAAGUUGGAAUGUUUCUACAUGUGUAGGGUCCAUUGGAACUAAUGGAGGAAAGGCUUAACGUCUAUGUAAAUCACAACGUUGCCUAGGUGGGCAUAGAUCUAGUUGUGUAACAUGAGAUGGUGUGAGAGUACAAUAUAUGCAUUGUAGUCUCUAUGGGAAGAGAGAUAGGUAAUGGUAGGGUGGUAGACGGUAGGGUGAUCUCUAAUAUAAUGACAUUUGAUGUGGUGGCUUCUAAGAGAGGAGAUAUAAGAGAUGGUAGAAUGACAUUUGGUGUAAUGGUCUCUAGUGCAAUGACAUGUGAUAUGGUGACCUAUAAAGAAGAGAUAUAGGUGAUGGUGAAGUGGUAUGUGGUGUAGUGACCUUUGAGAUAGAAAAUAGAGGUAAUGGUAGGUUGGCAGGUGGAGUGGUCUUUGGUGUAGUGACAUCAAUUAUAAAUGUCUCCAAGGGAGGAAAUAAAGGUGAUGGUAGGUAGUAAAUGUUGAGGUGGUCUUUGAUAUGUUAUGCUCUAAGAGAGAAGGUAUAGGUAAUGAUAAUAGGGAAUUUGACAUAGUGGUGUUGGAAAUAAAAAGUGAAAGUGACCGUAGAGGUGAAAGGGCAAGUGUAAAAGCCUCAAGUACGAAUGGAGUAAUUAAUGUGGAUGGUGCUAACAUAGUCUUAGGUGGAUACACAAAUAGUCAUAGUCAUCAACUAGCUUGCCCACCAUCUGUCUUUCUGCUAGUGAUAGGUUACAUCUUAAUAGUAAUGGCCAACAUAAGUGGUGUGGAUCCGAUUUUUUUACGUGUGUCCCCACUCAAUCGACAAGACUUAUUUUUUAUUAGUGAAAAAUUAAUUUUGGAAAAGUUGGAGUCACCACUUAUUUUAUUUUAUUUUAAAAAGGAAAGUAAAACAAGAAAGAGAACUCUAAAGAAGUGACUUCAUAGUUUUGGAAAAGUUAGUCUUAAAAAAUCCAAGUCUUGGUCCGGAGAUCAGGUUACUUAUUGGGAAGAUACCUCUAAGAGGUAAUACCCCUCUAAACCCUAAAGAAGUCUCUAAUGACUAAGUUGAGGAGAAUGUGGUAAUUAAUUAAUUGAUUGAGGGUACCUAGGUAGACUAAGGUGAUUUCAGAAUUAACAUACCAAGCUAGAAAGUCCAAUCAUGAUCAUAAAAGAGAGUCAAAGUAUGUACCUGAACUGCUUCUCAAACGCUAUCAUAAAACAUCAAAGUUAGUAUAGAAAUAUAACACAUAAUAUUUGUUUUAUCCAAGCAAAUAAAGCAUACAUCUAAGCACCCAAGAAUCACAUCAAGUAUGGAUAUAGUCAUCAAUAGCAUACGUGUCCAUAGAACUAUCGAAAGUAAAUGUGGAGGAGCGUAUCUGGACAACAUAGAUAACUUAUAAUGUGCUUCCACAAGACAUGGGGGUUAGAUAAAAGUUAUAAUAAUAAUUAGUAAAUGAAAGAAUUCUAGCAUGUUUGGUAUCUAAAUAACAUAGCAAAAAUGAACAAGAGUACACGAAAACAUCAAUUAUCACACGAGUCAUAUUGGCUAGUAUUUAAUCAAUAAACCAACAAUAAAUGACUAUAAACAUAUAAAAUGACAUAUUCAAAGAGACCCAAACAUAAAGAGCCUAGAACACAAGCUUACACUAAAUUUAGAAAACUAAAACAUGGAAUUUUAAAAGCAUAAAUUAGCAAACAAAUUGAUGGAAACUAAAUUUAGAUAACUUAAGAAUAUUUUUCUUAUCCUUCAAUUUAAAUCAGUAAGCCAACAAUAAAAAAUUAUAGAAACAUGGAAUAUCAAGAUCAAUGGGAUACCUAAACUAUAAUUUUUAAAAGAAAAUAAACUAAGCAUAAUAUCUACAAAGCAACUAAACUAACAUUUUUUUAAAAAUAAAUUAAACAUGACAUUAAUGGAGUAACCAAACUAAAUUAAAGUAAACUAAAAACAUUUAUGAAUUUUCAAACAUGGAAUCAGCUUUCUUAGUAAAUUAAAAUUAUUAAAAUAAAAUCUAAGCUUAAAAAUGAAUUAAAUACUAACUAAAGCAAAUCUAAAACCAAAUAUUUAACACAUAGGAUCAAUUAUAUUAACAAACUAAAAUUUUAUAAGAACACUUAAACCUAAAGUUGAAUUAAAAACUAACCAAUUUUUAAAACUAGAUCUUUAACCCAUAGGAUCAAUUAUAUUAACAAAUAAAUAAUAAAUAAUAAAUAAAUAAAACUCAAACCUAAAGAUGAACUAGAAAUGUACCAAAGUAAAUUCAAAACAAGAUCUUUAACACAUUAGAUCAAUUAUAUUGACUAACUAAAAAAAAAAAAAAAAAACACUCAAACCUGAAACGAUGUAUUAGAAACUAACCAAAGCAAAUUUAAAAUAGAGUCUUUAACACAUAGGAUCAAUUAUAAUCACUAACUUAAAUUACAAUUUUUGAAACAUGAACUAAUUAGUGUUGGAUUAAUUAAACUAAUUAACUAAAAAAAACUAUAAACUAGAAUACGGUGAAUCAAGAAUUCAAAUCAACAAACAUAAAAUAUGGGUACAAUGAAAUGAAAAUCUAUUAAACUAAUAAGACGGAAAUAUGACAAACUCAUGAACCCACAUUUUGAUCAACUAGGAAAUAGAAAUUAAUAGACCUGUAGCAUGGAUACAAUGAAAUGAGAUCAGUUAAAUUUAUUUGCCGAAAUUCUAAAAAACACAUACACUCAAAUAAGAUCUAAAUCUAAGACCAAGCAAAACUCAAACUUUCUCAAUCUAAUGCAAUGAAUCAAAACUAAAAUUAAAUAGAAAUCAAACCAUUUUUUUUUUAUCUAAUAUAAUAAAUCAAAGCUAAAACUAAACAAAAUCGAAUUUUCUUAAUUUAAUAUGAUGAGUCAAAGCUAAAAUUGAACAAAGUUCAAACCUUUAUAUAAUGGAUCAAAGUUAAAUCUAAAUGAAAUCCAUACUUCCACAAUUUGAUAUAACAAAUCAAAAAUAAAACUAGAUAAAAAAAAAGUCAAAGCCUUUCAACUUGACAUAGUGAAUCCAAACUGAAACGAAACAAAAUUUUAACUUUUCCAAUGAAACCCAAUAUAGAAAAAAUUAGCUUACCUUCUUUAGAAUAUAUGUAUGGGCCAUAAAGAAGUCACCUUGGUGCAUGUGUUCCUCACUUUGACGCCAAUGGACGACUUUCUAUGGUAGCAAAUGGAGAUCCUUUUUGGUGGUAACUUGCGUGUGGAAACCUAUGGUACAACCAAUGUCAUCUUUUAUUGUGCGUGUGGACCAAUUUCUUCUCGAGAACUCAUGUGUGUUGUGCUCAAAAUAUGUUGCCUGUGAGAAUCUAUUGGUAUACCCCACAUAUGGUUUCCUUGAGAGAAUCUGUGGUUGUGUGUGGGCGUUUUCUUCAUGACAGCAUGUGGAUGUUCCCAUCUAUGGUAGAUUGGUUGUGAUGCUUUAGUGCAUGGUCUCCAUAGGAAUAGUGUGUUAUGGAAAUUUGGUUUUUUUAUUGGUGCAUGUUGUCUAGACUUUCCCAUAUGCGUGGACUGUGUGUUCAUGCUUUUCUUUUCGGAUGGUCGCCUGUGUUAAUGUGUGGCGGUGUCUACAAUGAAAGAUACAACCCUUUCUCUCCUUCUGCGUGAUAGAAAAGUCAAUCCCCCAUGGUGCGACUAUGUUCCCUCGUCCUUUUUGAAAAAUUUUGGUGUUUUCCCCCCAAAAAAUCCCCUCCAAAAAUCUAAUUAUAAAUGUCUGCUUUGGCCUAAUGUGUGUGCUACUUUUUUUUUCCUUCUUUUUAUGGUUGUGCGUGCUUUUCUUGAUACGUGGCUUAUUUCUUAAGGAUAUGAUUCGCUCCCAAUUGGUGUCUCAGCUGAUUCAUGUCCUUUCAAUGGUCCCUGACAGUGGUGCCAUUUGAUUCGUGUCCAGCUGGUGUCCCUUGAUUGUGGUCCUCAGAAGGGAGUAAUCAAUAAAAUUUAUAACCUAUUACACCAUGUAUUAGGAUAGCCUUAGCUAGCAUAGCAUAGUGGCUCUAGGGUCGUUUAUUGGGAUGAGUUUUCACUUCACAAUUGAUAUUAAUUCAAGAGCUGAAUUGGUGCCUUUUCAUUUCAAGGUUAGCUUUAAAAGAAAACAUAAUCUUUGGUGGAAAAAGGUUUGGUUUUAAACUAACCAAAAAUAGUAACUGAUUUUACUUACAAAGAAAAGUGUUCUUUGGAGUUUAGAUCACUAGGCUCAGGUUCCUCAUACAAAAAGGAGAGUUCCGAUCAUUUGUUUCUUUUCCUCGCAUUAGAGAAUUAACAUAUAGUUAAUUCUCUAACCGGUGCGGUACAUAUGCUUCCCAUUAAUGGGUUCAAACACUAAAUACCUCUCACUGAUGCACCUUGCAAUGGCUCGUGCCUCUCACCUAGCAUUUAUCAUUCAAGGUGAUCUUUAACCUUGGAUUACCCAUCAAAAGCUCGCAAGAGAUAACUAAAGGAUGUCUCCUUAGAGUCCAAAAGCUUACCAAGUGUUGGUUAUUCUAGAAAAUCCUACCUUCAAACCACCUCCCAAAGGCUCGCAAGAGAUAAACAAGUGCAUCUCAAUGGAUGAAGAUCACUUGCCUUACCAAGUUUUGGCCCAGAUGAUUUAAUGACAUUUUAAGUUAACUAAAAAGAUAAAAACCAUUAACGGGUCACACUUUCUCUUCAUUAAAAACUAAAACAACAAAACUUCCAAUUUAUGCAUGAGGAAACUUACCUGGCUUUCUUCACUUCAAGAGAUGAAGAGCCUAGCCACUCAUCAUUUGAGGAAAAAUCCUCAGAGUUUGAUUUGCUAGAAAUAAAAAUAAUGAGAAAACAAAAAUAUAUAUAUGAAAAACAGAGCAAGUUCUCUGUAAUAUAUUUUUCUUCCUUAUACAAAAGGUUGUCUCUAAGAACAAGUUCCCGAGAUCUAUCUGAUUGUAAAUAAAAUUACAACUAUAUAUAAGAGGUUAUUCACCCCUUUGUUCUUUCUUAAAGACUAAGGAAUCCUAUGAUAGGUGGGUUACAAGGAGAGUUUGGGGAUUUAGACAUCAAAUAUCUAAAGCAAAAUAUCUCAAGAUGUUAGUCGGAAAUAUCAGGAAGCUUCAGGAGAACACCGCGACACUGUAUACUGAGAGAAAAACUCUCCGGGUAAGCUCUAUCAAAGGAUCCAGACAUGUCUGACUGGGAAAGUUGAAACGUCCUUCUCUCCCAUCCGGAUGUGAGAUAUCCGGAGAAAGUGAAAUGUCGGUCGGACAGAAUUCUUUCCCCGGGUGGAAUGAGUUGUGUUGCGCGUCGCAAGGGGGACCGUCUGCGUGUACAAGUUGUAGGGACCCCUCUCCCGGAUGACACCGAGCGCGUAAGGCUAUCCGGAUCAACUCCAUUCGGAUUCCCCAAGAGGACAUGUGGCGUGCUCCCCUAUCAGGACUCCCUUAGGGAGAAGCACACGACACUCGUGAACAUCAUACCCGGACGAUAGCAUGUCCUAUCCGGAUGUGUUGUCCGGAUCAUUGACUAAAGUGAGCAAGCCUUGCUACGUCAUUCGGACAGCUUGCCACAUACCAUGUUCCGUCGCCAUCUGAUGGUGUGUCCGAACGCCUUGUCCGGACAUCUUUUGCUCCUUGCAUUCCGGAUUUGCUUAUGACAAAGGACUUCAAAGCUUCGGUUCUUCAUGUUUCUGAGCUUUCCAUUGCUUUGCCAUGGAUUCCAAAGAACUCUCCUUAAUCACGGAUUGCUUUGGUGAUCAAAAAGUUAUCAAAACACAAAAACUUAACAUAGUUUGAUUAGAAUUGAUUGCAAGGGUUCUUAAUAUGUUAAUUGGGUUAAAAGGUGAUAACUACUACUCAAAAGUGUUUAUAAGAAUUAAUUACAAGCUAUGAAAUAACACUUUUUGAGUAGUAAUCAGGAUACAUCCUAGUUUUUCAUGGAAUUGAUAGUGGGUUGUUGUGCAUGAAUGCCACCAUUUCAACUAUGCUGUUGUUAUUUUUAAAAAAAAUAUGGAUUAUGCGCGAGUGGCAAUUCUCCACUAUGGAAAGUGGAUUGCUCCUUCAACCCAUGCAUGGCUACGUAUUCCUAUGUCUUUCUACUUGUGUUUGAUCCUCCAAAAAAAAUUUCGGUUUAGUGCUAGUAGAUUUUAAGUGGUGGAUCCCCAUUUUUUGAAAAUGAAGUGGCAGCCUCCCAUUUCAAGACAAAAUGGUAGCCUGCCUUUAAUCUUUGGAGAAAAAUCUGUGCAUGACCUUUUUUUUUCCCAAAAAAUCCGUGCAUGGUGUCCUUUAAUAUUUGGAGAAAAAUCUAUGUUGGAUCUUUUCUUUUCUAGAAACAUUUGUGUGGUCUUUUUUGUUAGCCCAAGGGUUCUUCUAAUCAAGUUUUGAUGAUAACAAACCAUGGUUAAGUGACUAAUUGGUUUAAUGAUUAAGAAUCUCAAACAUAAAAUCGAAAAUUCAUCAAAGGACCAAAUGGAUACAAGAUCGAGACGCUUGGAAGACUUGUAAUCAUAGGAAACUAAUGUAAGAUGAAUGCAUGAGUGCACUUAGGAUUUUCACACGUUUCAUGCAACUUAGAAAACCCAGUUUAUUCUUUAAAACUUCAUCCCAGUUUAUUCUUUUUAUGGUUGUGUGUGCUUUCCUUGAUACGUGGCUUAUUUAUUAAGGAUACAUCCCAGUUUUUCAUGGAAUUGACAGUGGGUUGUUGUGUGUGAAUGCCACCAUUUCAACUGUGCUGUUGUUAUUUAAAAAAAAAAAAAAUGGAUUGUGCGCGAGUGGCAAUUCUCCACUAUGGAAAGUGGAUUGCUCCUUCAACCCAUGCAUGGCUACGUAUUCCUAUGUCUUUCUGCUUGUGUGUGAUCCUCCAAAAAAAAUUUUGGUUUAGUGCUAGUAGAUUUUAAGUGGUGGAUCCCCUUUUUUUGAAAACUAAGUGGCAGCCUCCCAUUUCAAAACGAAGUGGUAGCCUGCCUUUAGUCUUUGGAGAAAAAUCUGUGCAUGACUUUUUUUUUCCCAAAAAAUCCAUGCAUGGUGUCCUUUAAUAUUUGGAGAAAAAUCUAUGUGGGAUCUUUUAUUUUCUAGAAAAAUUUGUGUGGUCUUUUUUGUUAGCCCAAGGGUUCUCCUAAUCAGGUUUUGAUGAUAACAAAUCAUGGUUAAGUGACUAAUUGGUUUAAUGAUUAAGAAUCUCAAACAUAAACUCGAAAAUUCAUCAAAUGACCAAAUGGAUACAAGAUCGAGACGCUUGGAAGACUUGUGAUCAUAGGAAACUAAUGUAAGAUGAAUGCAUGAGUGCACUUAGGAUUUUCACACGUUUCAUGCAAUUUAGAAAACCCAGUUUAUUCUUUAAAACUUCAAUUUCAUUAAAACCCGAGUUUUUAACUAAUGUACCUUAGGCAAAAUGUUUUAUAAUUGGCUUAAUAAUUCACCUAAAUACAUUUUCUAAGUGUUAGAAAAGAAAGGAAUUAAAAAAAGGUUUUCGGGGCAAAAAAGGCUCAACCGGUCGAGGCUAUGGUCAACCGGCUCAACCGGUUGAGGAACCAAUCGAUCGGUUGUGCUUGUCCGAUCGAAGACCAAUCGAGGGAUGCCAAAAAAUUUCUCUCUCUCCUAGUGGCCUUCUCUUCCCGGUCGAGGUUCGGUCUAGGCAACGGUAACAUGUCAAGCAUUAAAUGCUCCGACGACUAGUGAAUCGGUCGACCCCUAGCCCGAUCGGACGAGGUUGCCUUUUGCUGUUUUUGACUCCCGAGCUUAGAAACCUAUAAAUUGAGAGCUCCACUUCAUUUAUUGAUAAAAGAGAACACUUGCAUUCAAUAGUCUACCUACCUUUUCUUGAUCAAAAAGCUCUCAUUUCCUUCAUAGUGCAUUAAAUCAUCACUUGCAUAUCCUUUAGUGCACUAUUGUGUGUCAUCCUAGCUUUGUUUUGUAUUUGAGCUAUCCUUAAGCUAGGUUGAGGGAUUAUUUCUUAUAAAAAUCUGAGUGUUAAAGCCUUCAAGAGAUUUGAAUCUUGAAGAGAUUGUGUAAGAGCCCAUUGGAGCCGGAGUCCAAGUGUAAGAAGAUUGGAAGCUUGGUUGAAGCUUCAAGUUAGUGGAACCCUCACUCGGUUAGGAGGUUGAGGAGAGUGGACGUAGGUAAGGAAGUGUCGAACCAUUAUAAACCCGAGUUUGAAUUCUCUAACUCUAUCUCUUUAUUUUGCUUAUAUUGUGUUUGAAUUUGUUGUGAUUGAAAAGAUUUUAAAAACCUAAUUCACCCUCCCCCCUUUUGGGUUUUUUUUUCUUAAUUAAGCAUAACCUUUGUUUUCUAAUUUUCUUUUUAGGAAAAUCCAUGCGUGGUAUGUCCAAACUCUCCAAGUGGCAGUCUGCCUUCUUCUAAAAAAUUUGUUUCUAUUUCUUUAUUCGACUACCUUCCAUGUCUUCCUAAUGAGUGCUUGUGCUCAAUGGUCAAUCCCUGGUGGUUGCCUCCUUUUCCCAUAUAUACGUGUUGCAAAAUCAACAUCCCACUAUAUGUGGGUUGCCUCUAUGGCAAGUUCACAUUUCCCACAUGAAACCUAUGAGUUUCCACCAAAAAUUGCCAUGAAAAAGUCUUUAUAUGCAUCUCAUGCAAUAAAAAGUCAAGCCAAUACUCAUCUUAUCUCGAAAAAUAAGUAACCAAAAUCAAGAUCAUGCCUAAGUGAACUAUGCCAAAAGAAGUGUCCAAGUGACCUAUUAUGAAAAAAGUGCCUAAGUGACCUAAGGUGAAUGUGUGUAAGCUGGAAGGUGUCUAGGAUGUUUAGGACAAUGCCUAAGCCUAAAAUAGGGUUGCCAAGGGUCACAAUGGGGUUAGAUAAAUCUCUCAAUCAGAGUCUCCAAGGUGGCUCAUAAAAGAUAAGCUACACGAGUAAUGAUGGGCCACCAGGGAAUUAUUGUAAAGCACCAAACGAACACAUAAUAGGACAUGUGUUAGAAUGAAAAAAUGGAGGGUUUACAAGUGGUCUCAUGGAUGAGCUUGAUAAUUUAAAUGACUCACAUAAUGAACGUAUGUGAUGUUUCUCUCCAAUAACAAGCAAAACAUCACUAGCAAUAUGAUGAAUGUCUCCUAAAUCACUUGAAGUAGUCCUAGCAAAUCAAUUAGAAAAAUCACACAUAUUGCUCUAAUGUAAUAUUAUAUACAUCUGUCAAUGAAUGGGAGAACUAAUGACACAACCAUCAUGUUGAUAUCUCGAACCCUCUAAUCUCAUAUGUAGGUGGGAUCACACUUAGAAACUCAUAACACAGUAAUGACCAAUCUAAGUCAAAAUGUGUUGGUGAUCGGAGGCCCAUGAAUAUGAAGUUCUAGGAUGAUAAUGACAUCUUAUAAAGUAAUGAUCAUCUCCUUAAUAGAUAGGUGAAAUGUGUGUGUCUUAGGACACCAUCUCUCAACAAGACUUGUGAUCAAUCCCCAGUCUAGUGUAACAUGCCUAUUAUGACAUCCAUCGUAAAAUCUAGACUAGAUAAUAUAAGGACAAAUGUGAGGGUUCAUCUCCCUUUCCCACAUAAAUUUAAAAAAUUAUUAUUGACAAGUUAAGACCAAACUAAGUUGCAAAAUAUAAAUAAGUCCAUUAGAUAACAAAUUUAUGUUUUCUCAUUUUCUCAUUUUUAAAGAGAUAUUAUGUGCUUCCAUGUACAUACAUGCUAAAGUCAAUUAUACGAGACUUAUAUCCAUCUUGUAGAACCAAAUCGAACCUAUCUAAUAGAUCCAGAUUAGAAGUAUGUCCUCUAUACUCCAUAUUUAUAACACAUUUAUAAAGAUAAAUGCUAAAAAAAUGUUAAAGAUAUAAAUUUAAUGAACCAUACUUUAUGAUUUUAAUUCUCAAUUAUUGUUCAUAUUUAUAAGAGAAAAGUUAAAAAAAUUGAUAGAGUUUUCCCUCUAUCAUGGACAUUAUCCCAAAUAAAAAUAAAUUGAUUAUGCAAAUUACAUUAAUAUUUGUAACCAAAUGAUCAAUAACUAUCUUGUAUCAAUUUAGUAAAUAAAUUUAAGUAUAUCUUUUCAUUUAUGACUAACAAAUAACUCAUACUUGUCCAAUAAAAGCCACACCUAAUUUCUAAAAUUUUGUCUUCACCUCAAGUGAGUGUUACAUUGAGAAAGAAAAAAUAUGAAAGAAAAAAUGAACACCUUUUUCUUUUAAUAAAAAAAGGCCAUAACGAAACAUUAAAUCUCACUGUUACACCUAUCUUCAAUGGAAACAUGAGGAUGUGAAUGGUGGCGGUGAUAUUCUUUGCUUGAAGCUCAUAAACAAAUAUUCCUUACUAAGCCUAUGCCAUUUAGUAUUUCAAUAGUGGACCCCCCCCCCCCCCCCCCCCCCCUCCUUGCAUUUCAGAUUUAGCAAACUUAGAACCAAAUAACAAAGUGCAUUUGAACCCAUAAAGAAGUAAUGAGACUCUCCUAUAUUGGCAAUAGAAGAAAUUUUUGGAGGUAUAGGAGAUUCACGGAUGAAGAAGUUGGGCCCCAAUUGAGAUAAGACCCAAGAAAAGAUGGGGUAGAGAGGGAUGGUUGGAAAUUGUAAAGUAAGAUUUUCAAAAUGUAGUUGAUGACUAAGAUUUUGACAAUUUAAAAAAGGUUUAAAAAUGUAGUUAGCAAUCGGGGUUUUGUAACAUUUAAAAAAUAAAAUAAAAUCUCAGGCCACAUGGUAGCCCAUGUGAUUCAGAAGCUUGAGAAUUAUUUUAUAAGAAGACUUAAUUUGUGAUUUUUUUAUAACUAUAUUAUUUUUUUUCUUAACACACGAAAAAAAUUAUGAAAUAAGACAAUUUUCCUAAGAAAGCAUGUAAGUGACUCUUGGUUAUUUUAUUUAACUUCUUCUAGUUUGGAGAGGAUUAAUACCUUUGCUUUUACUCACUUGCUUGGAUAUGUACACGUUGUUCAUGUCACUUUUCAUUUAAUUUUCUGAUUAAGGGAAUUGGAACCGUACGUAACUGUCUUUAUUCCCUCUGAAACUUGGACUUGGAGUUGGACUUUCAAUCUCAUCAGUCGUGUUUCCAUAAAAAAGAAGAUGGAUUAACCAAUUUUCCUAUGCCUACUAAUCAUACACAAAACUCCACUUCCAAAUAAAAAGGAAUGGGAUAUCACUUGUUAAUAGUGGCUAAAGACUAUUAAUAACCAUGCAAAGAAAUGUCACAUUUUUUGUUCUACGCAAAUUUUAUUCAUCAACUACUAGAACCAUUUCAUACAAUAGUAGCUUUUCGAUCCUUUGAUAAAUGGACACUUGAUGUGAUAACACCAACUACACCUAUAUAUUCAAGCAAUCAUGCGUAUAUAAUAGUGGAUAUGGAUUACUUCUCUAAAUGGGCAAAAGUUUUGUCAUUCAAGGAAAGUGAACGAGGAAACACAAGUUUACUUUCAUCGGAACUAAUAUUAUAUAUUGAUAUGACUUCCCAUUAUUACUUACGAUGGAAUAUGCUUCCAUAAAAUGGCCUAGAUGAACAAACUAUCCAAGAAGUUUGGGAUCAAAUAAUAUAUAUAUAGUUCAUGUGUGAUUCUUUGGUUGACAACCUUGUUAAGGGGUGAGUGAAGCACUUUGGGCAUACCACAUACUACAUGCUAGACUUCCACCCAAGCUACCCUAUAUUCCUUAUGAACAAAGUAGAAGUUGUCAUCUCUCUUGAAUACCAAAUCCUUUCACCUAAUAAUGCUAUCUAAAAAGGUCUUAAAAAGGAUAAAAAUGCGCAUAUUUGAAUUUUUGAAUUAGGAGUGCUACUUAAAAAGAAGCUAGAUAUACAAUAAUAGAAUGUUAUCAAGCAUAUCUCUUCAAAGUUUUUGACCAAAAAAUAUAUGAUUUCUCAUUUUAGGUAGGAGACUUAGUACUCACUAUUCAAAAACCAAUUAUCAUUACUCAUAAAAACUAAUAGAAAGUUUGGGCCAAAGUAGGAUGGACCUUAUAUUAUGCAACAAUUAUGCCUAUAAAAUUGUUGCAAAAGAGGUUUUAGAAUCAAAUCAAUGAAUGAAAAAUUAUUAAAGCAUUACUAUGCUUGAAGGCUAGUCAUUUUCCCUUAAAGUGCAAUAUUAAGUUGCAUAGUACUAUGUGGAUCCGCAUUUUUCACAUGCGUUCCCACUCAUUGUCGAGACUCACUUUUUAGAAGUGAAAAAUUAGUUUUAUUAAAGUCGAAGUUGCCACUGGGGAUUUGAACCCUAACAAAAGGUUCAAUUUAAGGAUAAAAAUAUCGAUAAUCACAUAUAUAUAUAUUGGUACUUUGAUUUUAUGAAUAUAUUGAAGAAAUAUGGACAAAUAUUUUGACACAAAAUAUGUACAAAAUAAAAAUUAUAUAAAAAGUAAAAAUAAAUAUUUUAAAAUUAUUUUUUUAAAUAUAUAUAUAUAUAAUUUGACAUAUUUGAUAAUAAUAUAUAAGGGUCUCCAAAAAGCCCGUGGCCCGCUUUAGGCCCGGUCCGACCCGACAGGCUAAAGCCCGGCCCAAGCCCGCCGGGCCCAAGCUCGGCCCGAGCCCGUUUAUGGGUGGGCCGGGCCGCGAGCCCGUAGGCCUGCUCCUUUAAAAAAAAACUACAAAAAUAAAAAGUAUUAAAAAAAAUAUUCAUUUCAAAAUUUUAUUCAUUGAAUGUAUAAUUACAUUUGAAAAUGUGGGAAAAGUUUACAUCACUACAAAAUAAAUACAUCCCAACUAGGUUGGCACCUAUUUAUUUGUCAAUCAUCUGUAUUUUUCAACCACAAAAAAUAAAAAUAAAAAUAUAAUAUACAUUUAGUCAUUAUUUUCUGGCGGUGAUGGCGAACUAUCAUGCAUCCAUGAAGAUCUUGAUAAUUUUAAAGAUUCCAUAUCGGUAAGCAUCUUUGUUUCUCGAAUGGAAUCAUACAUCCUUUUAUCUGCUAUUUCCCAAUCUUUCACACAUAUCCCUGCUUUAAUAACAUCUGACGCUAAGUUGCAUCGUUUUUUACUAACUACUCUUCCACCUGCACUAAAAGCAGCUUCUGAUGCAACUGUACUCACAGGAACUGUUAGUACAUCACGAGCAAUUAUAGAAAGCACAGGAUAUUUGUGUUGAUGUGAUUUCCACCAUAUUAAAAUAUUAAAAUCUUCUUGAUCUUCAAAUGAAAUUAUAUCAGUAUUAAGAUAUUUAUCUAAAUCAGAUGUAUUAUUUGGAGAAUUAUUUGUUGUCUUUUUUCGACUUUUCAACAUUUCUAGAGCUCCUUUAUAAAAAGAUGAGGAGUUUGUAGAUGUAGGUGGUAAUUUAAUAGUAUUAAUAUCAUUACCAUAUUUUUCUUUAUAAUAGUUAUAUAAAUUAUAUAAUAAUGAAUUUAUUUCAUUUUUAAUUUCUUCAAUUUUUAUUUGGUCAUUAAAAUAAAUAAUUGUUAACCAUUCAUCCAAAGCUUCAAAUUUCAAUCUAGGGUCCACAAUUAAAGCAAUAUAAAAAAUUAAAGGUAUUUCUCCCCAAUAUUUUCUAAAUUUUUAUAUCAUUACAAAUAUUGUAUCAUUAAAUAUUUCAAAACUUAAAUAUUUUUGAAGUACAAUAAAAAUAUUAGUUAUUUGCGUAAUAACUCGAUUUGAAGUUGGAUAAUAUACACCACAAAAAAUGUUUGUUGAAGUAUCAAAAAUUUCAAAAAGAUCUCUUAAAACAUCCGCAAUAUGCCAAUCAUAAUCAUUUAAUGCAUAAAUAUCUGCUUCAUAAUCAUUGUUAAUUAAUUGUAUUUCAUAUAAUUCGACUACUUUUCUAUAUUUUGUAAUAUUUUCUAAAAGUUUAUAUGUGGAAUUCCAUCUAAUAGCCAUAUCCAAAUUUAUAUUUUUUCUUUUCAUAUUUAACAUUUUGCAACAAUCAAAAAAUAAUUCAUGUUUUGCUUGAAAACUAUUAAUACUAUAUGCAAUGCCUCUAAUUUUUUUCCAAUGUACUAUCAACAUUUUUUAAUCCAUCCUUUACAAUUAAAUUUAAAAUAUGUGCACAACAACGCACAUGAAAUAUUUUAGCAUGAUCUUCUUUUACUUGCCAAUAUCGUUUUAGUCUAUGUAUUGCUGCAUCAUUAUUAGCAGCAUUAUCUAAUGUUAUUGUCAAUAUUUUAUCACGAAUGCCUAAAUCUAUAAUUUCAUCAUUUAUUAAAGAUGCUAUAUUUUUACCACUAUGUGGAGUAUUUAUUAAUUUAAAUAAAAUUAUUCUUUUAUUUAAUUUCCAUUCAUUAUCAAUGUAGUGAACAAUUAUAUAUAAAAAACCAGUAUGAGUUAAAGAUGUCCAAAUGUCAGAUGUUAAACGAAUAUUUCCUUCAAAAUUUGCAAAAUUUUUUUUUAAAAUUUCUUUUUGUGUAUAAAUUUUUUUCAUAAUAUCUCUUUUAACUGUAUUUCCAGAUCAACCUUUAAAUUGAGGAUUAAUACCUCGUUGAAUUGUUCUUGCAAAAUCAUGAGUUUCCAUCAUGUUGAAAGGUUGUUCUGCUCUUAUUAUAUAAUCAAUCAUUUCUUCACAACAGUUAGAUUCAUCAUAAGAAAAUGUUUUUAAAUUUCCACUUUCAUUUUUACUUAAUUGCAUAUAAUUUCUAAUAUCUACAUUAUUUUUAGUUUUACAAUUUUCAUGAUGUCUUUUUAAAUGACUUGUAUCUGCAUUUGAGCCACCAGUAAGAAAUUUAUUACAAAUUUUACAUUUUGCUUUUAUUUUUUUUUUAUUAUUUUCUAAAAUUAUUUCUAUUCUAUCAAAAAAAUUCCAUAUAUUUAAAGUAAAUUUUUUGUUUGAUGAUAUUUCAUCACAUGGACUAGACGAAGAAGCACUUGUCAUAUUAUAAUUAUUGAUAAAAUAUUAUGCCAAAAAUAAUAAAGUAAUAAAUAUAAAAAAAAAUGUAACAAAAAAAAUAAAGUAGUAGGGGUGAAGUAUGUUACUCAAUUAGAGAACCUAUGCAGAAAUUCCUAGCAAAUUUGAACUCUUGGAGCCACCAAUGCUUGUUUUGCACCAUCAACAAUAUUGUAUAAUUUGAGGGAAAAAUAAAAGAAUUUAAAAUAUUGUAGAAUGUGAGAGAAAUAGAGAGAAUUUGAUGAAAAAAUGAAAAGGAAGAAAAUGUAUUUAUAGGAAGGUUAAAAAUAAUAAUAAUAAUAAUAAUAAUAAUAAUAAUAAUAAUAAUAAUAAUAAUAAUAAUAAUAAUUGGCCAUGUGACCGUUGGAGGCUUAGCUCCAACGGUCACAUGGGCUGGAGCUAGGCUCCAACAGUCACAUGACCGUUGGAGCCUUUAAUUUUUUUUUUUAAAAUAAUAUACUUUAUUUUUAUAUAUAUAUAACUAACUCAAUUAAUAAACAUAAAAAGAAUAUAGUUCAGUUGGUUAGAACCUUGAAGUUUAAACAUGAGGGGAGGGGUUUGAAUCCCUCCCUCUCCCUUAGGGGCUUUUUUAAAAGCCAUUUUGGCUUAUUUCAAAAAGCCUGUCGGCCCGACCCGCCCUGCAGCCCGCGGGCCUAGCAUUUUAGCAUGGCCUGGUCUGUUGACUAGUCAAAUGGCUCAUAGGCUCGGCCCGAACUGGGCCGCGGGCCUCUUAUUUACGGACCGGCCCGACCCGGCCCGCCCGUUGGAGACCCUUGAUAAUAUCUUCUAUAUUAAGUUACAUUAUAGUUUAUUUUACAAUAUUAUUAUGAUAAUAUGUCUAAUUUUAAAAUAUAUUUAAUAUUAAAAUUAUGAUCUAUUUUAAUUUAAAUGUAUUCAAUGAUAUCAAAUAAAUAAUAAUAUAUGUAUAAUUCUUUUAUUAUUUAUAUUUAUUAUUUUUAAUAAAUAUAUAGAUUAUAUAAAAAAGACCGGAUAUAUCUUUUCAAAUUUUGUAUCGCUCUCCAAGGAUAUUAGAUGUAUGGGAAUUUGUAUUGCUAUCUACGGAUACGUUGAUAUAUGGGUGAUUUAUCAGGAUAAUUAGAAAUUCUAAUUAUGUAAGCAGGUACGGAGUUCUGUGUCGGUGCGAUCUUGUCGACAACAGCUCCAAAUUGUGCAUCUUGCUCAUAGAGAGUAGCGGAAUGCACCAAUCGUAGGCUCAGAGUACCACUGAGUCGUCUGGCAGAGACCCAACUGAAGGUGCCUGUGUUGUUCCUGAUCUGAUCAGGCUUCAAACUACAAGGUGGAAUACUGGUUCCCCUAUAUCAGAAGCUGGAGAUACCCACCCCAUAUGCUCGUCUGGAUGUGCUCCUACCCUUUGAAGCCUUCUUCCGAGUCAAGUCCGAAUUGAUAAGGCUAGUGAGUUCCCAACCAACUGUACUCAGCAUGCUGCCAGGUGGAGACCCUCCAUAUUUGAUGGCUUCCUAAUAUUAAAAUGCUGACCACUGGUCUUCAUGUUCCACAGGCUUAAUUGUGUCCUUUGCUGAAAGAAUGGAUAGUGAUCCAUUUUAACACAUGAUUCACGCCGUCUUUGCCAUUCUUCAUGGUCUAGCCCUUUUAUAUAUAUGCUUCCUGAACUGUUGCUAUUAAUAAAAUGUGGUAUCUAUCCCGUACACCUUCCUGAUGGCCAGCGAAUGCAGAAGCUACAGAAACGGUUCCAUCUUUUGCUUCCGCCACUUUGGCAUCCUCCAUGAUGAGAUCGAAGGUGAAUAAUCAUAUUCUGGGGAUUUAUGUCCUGGAUAUUCUCAGUAAUGCCCAAUUUCCUGGUGCCGGCCUCAUUUCCAUGGGAACUGAUGGAUAACUUAAGGCUUCUACCAUCUGCGUGGUUCGCUUCUAACACAGGAAACUUCACGGCUAAAAGCAAGAUACCAAGAACAUCAAGGCUGUGACAAAAAUUAGUAUUUUUAACUUGUAGGAAUUUGAAAGGCAACCAACCAUCUAGCUCUGUUCUUAAAGCUCCCAUAGGAGGAUCAGAGGCUGGAUUGCUCAAGAUGAACUCAUCCAUUGUUGCACUUAAAAAGAAUUGGCAUGAAUUGUGGCCGCUCUAAUAGGUUCCCUAAACCAUCAUCCAAGUGGGCUUGCGGAAGGUAGCGAGUUUAAAACACCUAGGGCGAUGAACAGUGGACUGUGAUGCUCACAAAAGAGAAAAGGAAGAAUUCAAUAAUUCCUAAGAAUCCAUUUGCCUGUCAUCCAAAUUUUUAUAUUCUCUUCAGUCUGACGCGUUAUGCCAUAUAUUAAAAAUAGCGGCUUCUUCCAAGCCGAGACAGACUGUGCAAAGUUCGCAAGGCCAAUCAUCACCAUAAUCUGAAGUUGGCCUCCUCAAUCGCAGCUUGUAUCCGAAUGCUCACUUCACGGGAUGGAUUGUAAUGAAAACUAAUCUCAGUCCCAGCUAUGGCAGCAUCCUCACUUGACAGCAUUUUCUGCAUAUUCUAGAACAAAGCAAUAAACCCUCAAAGGCUCCUUCGGAUCAGAGUUAGAAGACUGUCCCUCAGGAACGUGAACACUAUGGUGGUUCUGAUAAGCAGUGAUAUUGCAUUAGAGCCUUUUGGAACAAGAGGAUCUUUUCAGGUGGAAACUGUAAACUGCUUCAUGUUGGGCUGCAACCUUUUCUUCAAGCAAUACUUUCUUUCUGUAUCACGACUUAUGUUGCUUCCGGAGCCAUCCCGUGUGGACUGCCCUUCAGUGAAAGAAUAUGUGUGUUGACAUGUUGGAUUGUAAUCUUUGUUCCACUCUAAUGGCUUUUGGUCCUCCUCUUUCUCUUUAUGACAGAGAACCAUUUAGUGAUCCAUCUCUAUAUUGUAGCAUUGCUGGUGCUUUGCAAUACUACACUCUCACCAAGCAUAACAUCUAUUUUUCCGUGACCAAAGUAUGUCGGUUUAUGCAUGCGCAAACUCUUAUUCAUUGGCAAGUUGUCAAGCGUAUCUCAUGAUUUCCCAAAGCCACAAGUUCUUAUGGUCUUUCUGUUCAAGCUUACAAUGAUCUAUCUUUUCUUGGUUAUACUGAUGUCGAUUGGGCUAGUUGCCCUGAUAACAAGCACAAUACUAGUGGGUACAACACUUUUCCUGGUCCUAAUCUCAUUUCAUGGGCAUUUUCAAAGCAGAAGGUUGUGUCUCACUCCAAUAACGAAUCUGAAUAUAGGGGACUCACUAAUUAAUGUUGUUGCCAAGGUCACUUGGAUUGAAUCUGUCUUACGUGAGUUGCGUGUUUCUCUACCCCAACCACCAAUUUUGUUGUGUGACAACAUUAGUGCUACACACUUGGACAAACCAUGUUGAAAUACACUAUCAUUUUAUCCAUGAAAGGCUUAUGCAUCACACACUCAAAAUUCAAUACACCUCUUCUAUAGACCAACUAGUCAAUGCUAUGACCAAAGCUCUUCCUUCAUCUCACUUGUACAAUCUUCAGUGCAAGCUGAUUGUUCUUCCCAAACCACUCAACUUGAGGGGAGAUGUUAAGCCAAUUUAAUAAAUUGAUUUCUUUUGGUUAAUUUGUUAGAAUCAUUUUUAUUAGAGGUUUGUUUGUACAAUUACAUCCAUUUAUCAGGAGAGUACACGUGUACAACUCCUCUUUUAAUCUCACCAUUGUAUAUAUAUGAUACACGACCUUACUCAGAAUUGCAUAACAUUUCCUCUGCUCAUUCCUUUUCUUCUUUGAAUUUUCCCUUACCUCACUGAUUUUGAUUUAUACCUGGUGUUUUCACCUUUGGUCUCUACCUUUCUAGCCAGUUUUCUAAUUAAUCCGUAUAUGGUAUACCUGUCAACUAAUGAGGAGAAAGAGAAAAGGGGAUUGCUGUUCCACCAGCUACAUAUAAUAAUUAAUUACAAUCAUGGUAAUGGAUCCUGAAAUCCAUCCUUUGUGGAUUUUGUACGGAAUAUUGUUGUUAUGUAUGUGGGCUCACUUAGAUGUAUAUUGCUAGCCUGUCUGGGAAAUGUGAUUGCAGGUCCAGAUUAUGAUGUUGAUAUUAGUGGGAUAAGCAAGAGAUGCAGUUAACACGUAUGUGAUGGACUUGAGUAACUUUUCCAUUUCAGUCCAUUUUUUAAGAUUAUGCUUAGUCUUAUUACAAGGAAAGACCAUAAGAAUCAUGAGUCAUUGGCAAGGUAAUAUCAUUCCCUCUUUACAGGCUUCUUCACCUUUUGGUUUUUUUAAUAUCCAUCAAGAUCUUUUAAUUGGAGGACAAUUACAAGUAUAUAUAUAUGUAUUAAAAGGGGAAAAUAUUAAAACAGGAAAUUUUAGGGAAAAUAUAAUAAUUAUUUCUUCCUUCUUUCCCAUAUAGAACUACACAAAAUAAAACUUUAAUAAUUUUUUCUUAUCUUUUUUAUUAUUAUUUUUUCUUAGAAACAUCCGUGGUCUCACAAGCUUGUAAUCCUAGAUUGUUAGGCUCCUUUAACAGUGCCCCAACAUCGUGGUCCAAUGACAAGCUUCCACGCCUUAAAAUCAGAAAAUGCCAUUAAACUUUAUCAGACAUUACAGUUCAAGACAAAGCUUUCAUUUGCUUAAUGUGAUAAUGAAAUUGUUAAUUUCAUUUCGUGGGCAUCUAAAUUUGGACGAGCAAGACCUCUGAAUUCCCUGUUUUUAUCACCAGCAGAGGAGAUAAAAUCUUAAUGGUGAGAAUCUCCACGUGAAAUUUAUGUGUACUGUCAACAUAUUUUUGUUUAUAUAGUCCAGUAGCUGCAGGAAGUCUAGAUUAUAUAGGUAGCAGUAGCACUAUUUAUAGCACUCGAUAUUCGCUGUAUGAAUACAUUAAACCUUGUUUUCAAUACGCAUCACAAGCAAGUACUAGAUACUACAAGGAGUGACAGUCGCAUCAACAUUUCUUGAUAAUAGCAGUGACUGAUUUAUACACAGAACAGUACUGUACACGUACCAGUCACCAGAGAUAGGAUCUUAUUCCUACAUACGACUCUUAUUGAUCGAAGUCACUCAGUUGGGGUAGCCUGGAGUUGGAGGUUUGUGUGGUGGCUUCUUCUUUGGAGGAGGCUUUAUCUUUGGAGGCAUCAUCUUUGGAGGCAUCUUGUGUGAGUCUUCUUCAGCAUUCUCUACAGGAGGAUGGCCAGGCUUAUGACCCUUAGGUGGUUUGCCAACUGGGAUUGGUGGCUUGUGUCCUGAGAGUGGCUCCUCUUCUUCGGGAGGUUUGCCAACUGACGUUGGUGGCCCGUGUCCUGGGGGUGGCUUGUGUUUUGGGGGUGGUUUCACUCCACCGGGAGGUUUACCAAUUGGUGUUGGUGGUUUGUGCUCAAUCGGUGGCCUCUCAACUGGGGGGCGCUUGGGGUAAUCAGCGAGUGAAGAAGUGGUGAGAACCACCACUCCAAGCAACAACACUAGCAAGUAUGUGGAAGACAUCUUUGAGUUUGGCUCAGAUGGUGUAGAACUAGAAUCCUGGGUGGCCUUUUAUAUUAGUUGGGCCCUAUGCCCGAACGACAAGUGUCAUGGUGACACAUAAAGUGAUGGGGUCGAUUUGGGCCUACCGGAUUUGAAAACUUGGACAAUUCGAGAAGCGUCUCCUGACUCCGGGUUGUAAAGUGAAAGAUUAGGUAUCGACCAUUGAAGUAUGAUCACAACUUUUGGCCUUUGGCUCUCUCUACUGCCGUAUAGCUUUUUUCCUUUGGAUAUUUUUCUUAGCUAGACACAAUUAUUGAGCAGUCUAAUCUCGAAAUGGGAUUAGUAUAGCUUUAAGCAAAUUUAUUAUAGUUAGUGGAGGACUUUUAAGAGUGCAGACGACAUUUAACACAUGCAUGCAGUAGUAUAGGGGACAUAACACUAUUCUUUUUCCAAAGAUUCACAUGAUUUUUAUAUUAUAGUAUUGGCACAUUGUAUGUAGCUGGUUUUGUGGUUAAAAUUCCAUAUGUAGACACUGGCGUUUCUCCAUUUCUCACAAUUGAUGUUUACCUCCACGAUUACUAGAUUAGAUAUACCAAACAAUAACACAUUGUAUAAUCUAUCCGCCCUUCAAAAUCUACUGUAUGAUGAAAUGUUUCAUGUGUGUGUGAAGUGUUAGAAAUGCACUAUAGGCAACAUCAUCUUCUUUUGUCUAGGCUUGGGCCUCAAAUUAUACUCCCAUGCCAUGAUAAAUUUUCAUGUGCAUUCUCUAAAGAAGAGUGUCUUGAAUGUGCCAAAUCAUUUUGAUUGAUUUUAUGAUGUUAAUUGCUCCGCAUAUGGAUGGGUAUGUGCUUUAUUUGCUUAUUCAAUCCACAAUUACCUUGAACUGAAGUCCUAUUGGAGCUCUAUUAUUUUAGCAACGUCCUGUCAAAUAGGCUGCUAACUUGGGGUGGUAUGGACCCAAUGAUCCAUCUUAAUCUUGGGUUGAUUUUGUCUGACUCUAUCUAUCUCAGAGAGAACCAGGAUCACCAGUGCUGGUCUGCUUAAAGAAGACUCAGUACUGGAUUAAUAUUGGUUUGGGUCAAUAGCUUAUAAUGCAUUGAAUGCAGAAUAAACAAGAUCAAUGAAACCCAAAACACACUGCCCACACAACUUCACUCUGGUGUCUGUUAUUCAUCAAUUCUAUUCCCACAUGAACUGGUUCAAGUUUAAGAAAAUGACAACGGAUCCACUGUAUUAACUUGGUUUUGCUUGGUUUUGAGCUAGUUGCCAAACCAGCCAUGAGUUUUACCUCUAAUGUCAAUGAACAAACCCCAAAUGAACAACUGCAACAGCUUAAAGAGAAGGAAUGGAGAUGAAAAUCCCUGUUUCUUCUCAUUCUGGGGACAAAUUAGAACAUAACUACAAAGGUUCUAUUAAUUGACUUACUCUACCAUGAAUUAUGGUUCUUUGGUUUUCCAAAUUUAAAUUGUACAUGAGAUUAUUUUUUUCCUUUAUAUAUAAACAUAUUAAGGUUUUCUUAUUUCGUGGGCAAAUGCGCUAAGGAUGAAAGUCAUUUCAUUUGGCUGCAACAGCAUCUUAUAAUCAACAUGCAUAAGCAGCAGUUUUAAUUGAUCGAUUGAACACCGACUCACAAGAAUAGAUAGAAUGGUACAAGACAGCUCUUAUUAAUUUAUACUCGUUACUCAUUUUAUGUAGCCCCAUUAAGAUGGCUGGCUGGACCACCGAGGUCUGGGGGUGGUGUUGCUUGUGUGAUGCAGCGGGCCGGGCAGACACUUCUCUAGUUGCUUCUAUUUGGAGUUAGAGGAUCAGUCUCUGCCAACCUUGAGGACUCUCUACCUCAGAGGGUCCAGGUGGUGGACUCUGGUGUCGGUAGCUUUGAACUCUCAGUAGACUAGUGUGUCUUAAUCAGUCACUGCCAGAGGCUGGCGUAGGCAGUGACGAUAAGGUGAGACAAAUUACCGAAUAGUCAAUAUCGACUGCACUUGACCAUUAUAGAUUUGUUCUGACAAAAGUGAGAAAAGGGAGAAAAUCGGAUGUUGACCUUUAUAGAAAAAGAUAAGAUUUACUGCAACACAGAGCACUGAUUUGUUACUUGGAAACCAAGUUAUGCUAUUAGCUAGCCUCCAUUAGCAGCAGGGUACCUUGCUGCCUGAUCCUAAUCUGAGUUCCCAAGGUUUCAAUCUUCGUUUGUUAACGCUUCAGGAUUUGGAUAUUUCAGCUUCGUUUCUCCAUUUAGCCAACGCUGCCUGGUUUGGAUUUCAAUCCUCAUCUGGAACAUUCUUUUUUCGGUCUGAUUCAGGAAGUGUUUGGUGAUAGUUGAUUAAAAUUAAACAGUACUAUCAUACAAAUAAAGCUGAUCUAAUUUUGGUGGGCAAUAUACCAACUCAUUUAUUCUUGAAAACACCAUGGGGAAUUGGAGGUCCAUCCGAAGUACUAUUUGAUGGGACUCACAAAAAGAACAGGUGCACAUUUAUGAGAUCCGUGGAAGAGAUAACUAUGACAGCUAUGCAUGUACAACAGAUUUAUGUCGAGUUCACCUCGUAGAUAUUUUGUUUUCAGUGUCGGUGGACCCCAAAAUGGAAAUCGGAAAUUAAGGUUAUAUUUAUUUUUUUAUUUAAUUUUAAAUAGAAUUUUAAUUUUUAAUAAUAUUAAGUAUUAAAUUAUUUUUUUAAGGGUAUUUUAUUUUUAUUAAGUAUUAAAAAGUAAAAAAAAUUAAUAUGUUGCUUUUUUAUUUUAAAAAAAUUAUAUAUUUUAAUUUUUUCUAUUUACUAAAAAGUUUAUAAUAAAUUAUAAAAAAAUAAAAAAAUAAAAAACUUAAAUUCUGAAAAUAAAUUAUUUUUAAUAAAAAAAUCCAAAAAAGCAAACACCACCUAAAUUUGAGAUGACUCAAAAUUUUAUAUUUUUUUUCACCUAAAUUAUAUUCAUAAAUUUAAAAUUAAAAAAUUAGGAAGUUGAAUUUUAUUUUGGAUAAUUGGAAACUACAAGAAAUCAAUAAAAAUAUUUGGAAAAAAAAGAAAAAGAAAAACUAUCUAUAUAUUCACCCCCUUCUAAGAAACAUAACUUUAGUUUUUAACUAUUUUUUAAAAUAAUUUUUGAAAAAUGUUAUAUAAUAUUUUAUAAAACAAAAAAUCUGUUUGACAAUUUGAUAUGUCUUUAACUUAUUUUUAAUAUUUAUAUAUAUAUAUUUUAAAAAUAAUUUUAUAUUUAGAACUUUAUCUUUAAUUAUUAUAUAUAUUUAUAUAAUUAUUUUUUUUAAAACAACUCUUAAAAAAUAAGUGAAAGUAAUUGAAAACAACUCAAAGAUAUUUGAUGAAAACACUCUAAUUUGUAUUUUUGAGAAUAAAAAAAUAAAUAAAUAAAUUUCUAGUUAUCAAAUGUAUUUUUUAAUUCUUUUAUUCUAAAAAAUAGAAAAUCGUUUUUGAAAAUAAUUAUUAAACAACAUUCUUAAAAAUUCACUCGUUACAAUCUAGAUUUAAUGCAAGAAUGAUUGAAGGAGUCCUCCAAUAGAACCCAAAGUUAUAAACAUGAACAAGAAGCCCUAGAAACACCAAAGAUCUCAUAUGGUAUAUAUAUGAGCUUGAUUGAGAACUGUUUUAAAUUCAGUUUUUUUUUUUUUUUUUUUUUUUUGUUUUCAAAGUCAAAACAAGUUUACUUUUAAUUUUUACUUCUUUUUUUUAAUUUUAUAAAUAACAGUUUUUUAAUAAUUUAUUUUGAAAACAUGAUUAUUUUUAAAACUUAUAAUGAAAAUAGGAAUUUUUUUUUUAAUAUCAUGGUUAUUUUCCCUUCUUUUAAGGAGGGCUAUUUUAAAAAUAAAUUUACAAAUAUGAAAAAUGAUUCAAACUAAAGCAGUACAAAUAAAAAACAUUUUUAAGAAAUAUUUAAAAAUAGAGAAAAUUAUUUGAGAACAUUUGAAGUCCUUAAAUAGACUUUUGUUUUAGAAAAGGCAAGAUAAUUAUUUUUGAAAAUUGUUUUCAUAAUGAUAUGCAAAAACCUACGUAAAAACCAUAAUUAUAAUCGGCCACAUAUCAAAUCUACUAAAUAUGAAAAGUAAGUACAUAAUUAUAUUUGACUUAGAUGCAAGGAGGAAAAUGUCGCGAUAUUAUCGCCGAAAUAUCGUGUGUCGAAGGGUAUCGACACGAUUUUUCUUGCAGAAAUAUCGGCCAGUCGAUUUUUCGGGAUAAAUCUCGAGAAAUCGGCAAUUUAUCGCGAUAUAUCGGCGAUUUUUCCUCGAUAUAUCUUCUGGUCAACGCGGGUCAACGGAGUCAACACGCUACAGUGAAAGUCAAAUGUGCUACAAUGUCCCCGCUACAAUCACCUCCCCAAACAAAUUGCCAAAUUGCUUCCGAGGGGAUUUGAACCAGCCUUCUUGCCAUUUGGGCUAACUCGCCCUUAUGAUAUAUAUUGCAUUAAACAUAUAUAUACUUAAAGUCCUUAUAUAAAGAAAAUGUUAAAAAAAUAUUUUAAAGAGCAAAUUAAUUAUAAUUAUUUUAUAAUUAAAAGCAAAAUUUUCUUUUAAUUAAUUACCAAAAAUAUAAAAAUUAUAUAAUUUUCUUCAUAAUGUUUUUAAUAUCAUUAAUAAUUAAUUAAAUAUUAAAAAAUUAUAUAUAUAUAUAUAUAUAUAUAUAUAUAUAUUAUAAUUUAUUUUAUAUUGUUUAAUACAAUUGAAUUAAAUGGAUCAUAUUUUAAUAUUAAUAUAUAUUUUAAAAUUAGACAUAUUGUAAUCAAAUAUCAUAAUAUUAUAUGUAAUUUAAUAAUAAAUGUACACUUAUAAAAUUCAUAUUUUUAUCGAUGCAUACAAUAUUAUUAUCAAAUAUGAUAAAUCAUGUUAUACAUAUAUCAAAAUUUUCAAUAAAAUAACUUUAAAAUGUCUAUUAUACUUCUAAUUAUAUUAUUAUGAGGUUUUCUUUACAUUUUCAUGAGUUUUAAACAAUUUUAAGCACCAAUAUUUUUUUCCAAAAUAUCCACCGAUAUAUCUCCGAUAUAUCCAAUAUAUCUCCGAUAUCUCCGAUAUAUCCGUAAAAUCGAAGUACCGAUAUAUCCGUGAUUACCGAUAUUUUCAUCAUUGCUUAGAUGCAACCUUCUUCCAAAUGACAUACUUUAGUCAAUACUUAUAUUUUUUCGUUUCACUUCUUUGAUACAACACCUCAUGGAUUUAUUGUUUAAUUUAUUUGUAAUUAUAAAACUAUUUUUCAUUUUUAAUAAGACUUGAAUUAAUUUAAUAAAUAUUAUAUAAUUUGAAUUUAUAAUUCUUUUUAUAAAAUCAAAGUAUAUUAAAAAAAAAACAAUUUAUCCGAAGAAAGUUUUUUAUUUUUUAUUUUUUAAAACCGAUUUUAAAAAUAACUAGCUAGACACCCUUAUUUUGAUAAAAUACGAAAUAAAAGUGUAAAAACAACAUGGCCAAAUAGGGGCUUAAAUUUUAUUUUUAAAACAUUUUUUUACACUAAAGUGCAUUUUAAAAACACCAUCAAAACCAACUACAAGUUAUGCUUCUUCCCGUAAUAGAAAUAUUUUAGGCCAAAAUAGAACCUCCCCAAAUAAAGACCCUAUACUAAACUCCUUUUCAUUUUAUUAAUACAAAAGUGGGGAAAAAAGGUCUAUGCUCACCUAAAAAACAUGAAUAUUGUGAAUUCACCAUUUCUAUAAGGAAGUUGAAAACUUCAAAAUUUUAUCAACAAAUUCUCUAAAAUCCUCAAAAUAUAUAGGGCCUGUUUCACAAAGUUUUUUAAAAUUUGUUUUUAUAAAUUGCUUUUAAAAUAUAGAAUAAAUAACAGUUUUUUAGAUUUUUUGAAAAAUAAGAGUGUUUGGUAAGAUGUUUUUUUUUUUUUUUUUUUUUUUAAGAAUUAAAUAAAAAAUAAAAAAAUUGUUUAGAUAAAAGAAUUUGUAUUGUUUUUAAAAACAAUGUCUUACUUUUAUGUUAUAAAAAUUUUAUUAAUUUAAUUUAUAAUAAUAUGAAAUGAAAUUCAAGUUAAGUCUUAUUAAAAAAUACAAAUUAAAUCUAUAAUUAUGCAUGAGUUAAAGAUAAAUAUAUAUUUUUUAAAACUAUAAAAUAAAUUUUCUAUUAUAGUGAAACAAAAAUUACUAUAAAAUAAAAAUAAUUUUAAUAUUCAUUUUUAAUACAAGUCAAAUAAGUACUUUAAUUAAUUUUUUUUAUCAUGAUUUCUUAUGUUUUUUUUUUUUUCUAGAAAUUAUUUUAAGUAAUAUAACUAAUUUUUUUUUUAAUGUUUUAUAAAAAUAAGGAUAUUUGGCAAGUUGUUUUUAUAAAAGGAUUUUAAAAAUAAAUGGAUUUUUUUUUUUUUUAAAAAAAGAACAAAAUGAUUUGUUUGAAUAAAUUGUUUUGAUUUUGUAAAAACAUUUUAAAUUCAAUUUAUAUAAUAUUAAUUAAUUAAAUUAAAUUGAAGUUUUAUUGAAAAUAAAAAUAAUUUUGUAAUUAAAAUUAGAUUAAAAAAUAUAUAGGUUUUAAUAAAUCGUAAAUAGUAAUAUUAUAAUAAAAUUAUAAAUUAUAUUUUUAACAUAAAAUAUACUAUUUAUUACAUAUUAAAAAAAAUAUUUUAUUAUAUUAAUAAUUUUAUGGUAUUAAUGAGUUUAUUAUUUAAGUUUUAAAUUAUUUUUAAAAAUUAAUAAAUUUGUUAACAAAUGCAAUGUACUAAAUGUGGUUUAAUUUGGAGUUAAUUUGUUUAGGGAAAAAAAUAAAAAAUAAAAAUCUUAUGUAAAAGAGAAAUAAUAGAGUGUGUGUGUUUUUUUUUAUUAUUUUUAAAAAUCAGUAAAAAGAACUUUUACUUAUUGCCUAAAAAUUAUUCUCUAUUUUAUUUUAUUUUUUAAAUCUAGAAAUAGAUAACAAUAAUAAAAAAAAUUAAAAAAGAAAAAUGUUUUUUAAAACUCAGACUUAUAAUUGCUUUUGUUUCUCAUUCGCACCCCUGGAUUCCUGGAUUCUAAACACAAAAUUAAGUUGAAUCGUCCAUCUAUCUUGUAAGCCAAGAAUUCACAUAGAAGAAAUAAUCGGAAUUUGAUUUGAUAUCAGAUUUAGAGUGGCUCACUACUCAUGCAUUGUCCCACAAUAGUAAUGCUUUGGGCCGAGAUAAACCCAUUUGUGGGCCCAAAUAAAACCCCUGGUUUGAAAACAUCGAUUUUACAGUGGCCCAAAAGAUUAUCUAUGAGGGGAAGAUAACUUGGAAGUCAAGCAAACACAUUUAUCGCUAACUUUUCUCUAAUUAUAAAAUUAUAACUUGGUCUUCUACACGUCUCACUUAAGAGGCGGAGCCACUUGGCACUACCUUUCCAUAUUGUAAAAGGAGAAGAAGCAGAAGGAGAAGAUUCUUAUGCCAUUCCACACACCAUGGCUAGUACUGCUAUGCUGCUUGGCCCGCCGGCUCUCCGCCAUCCUAAUUCUCCCGCCGGCACUGUCUUUGAAGAUGGGGUCAUUCUAACGGAUUCCCUGAUCGUCCGCACCAGUAAUCUGGAGCUUUCUGAAAAACCGCCACUGGAAUCCCUGGCGUAGUGCUCUGUCAGUGGGGAUAUUGCUAUGGAUUGUUUGGAUUCCCAAGCCCACAAUCUUCAUCUUCCCGGGAAACCGCCGAUGGGCUUAACGGAAAACAAGUCUCCGACCUUUUUGUCUUCCGGGAACCCGUGCUUGGACUUCUUCUUCCAUGUGGUUCCCGAUACGUCGUCUGAUGAUCUGAUCCGACGGUUUGAGUUGGCUUGGGAAUUCAAUCCGCUGACGACGUUAAAACUGAUAUGCAACUUGAGAGAGGUGAGAGGCACCGGAAAAUCUGACAAAGAGGGUUUCUACACGGCGGUUCUCUGGCUCCACGACCACCAUCCCAAAACCCUAGCCUGCAAUGCUAGGGUGUUGGCCAGCUUCGGUUAUUUCAAGGAUUUUCUCGAGAUUCUCUACCGGCUUCUGGAGGGCCCUAAAAUUCGAAGAAUCGAAAAGAAAGACUGGCUGGAUCGAAAAGGAAGGAAGAAAAAUUCCCGGAAAAGGAACUCAAUAUUCAAGCGAGAAAAUAGGCCUGGAGUUGAAUUUCCUGUAGAAGAGAAGGAUGUGGAGUAUAUGGUGGAAGAAUUUGUGGAUAAAGAAAAGGCUAGGGUACUGAGAAAGGAGAGAGAACUUGCUCUUGCCAAAAGAGCCCUGCACAAGUAUUCUACUGAUUCUAAUUAUCAGUUCUUACAUGAUCAGAUUUCAGAUUUAUUUGCUGAACUUCUGAAAUCUGAUAUUCAGUAUUUAAACUCCGGUGAGCUUUACAAGAUUAGUCUCGCAUCCAAAUGGUGUCCCACAAUUGAUUCUUCUUAUGAUAAAUCCACCUUGAUAUGUGAAAAUAUUGCUCGAAAGGUUUAUUCUCGCGAGGAAUAUAUAUCCAGAAUACCAAGGAAUUGAGGAGGCUCACUAUGUUAAUAGAGUCAGGGAUAGGUUGAGAAAACAAGUACUUGUUCCAUUACGUAAGGCCCUGGAGUUGCCAGAGGUUUUCAUGUGUUCGAACCAGUGGGGAUCACUUCCCUACAACCGUGUGGCUUCAGUGGCCAUGAAAUCAUACAAGAGCCUCUUCUCAAAACAUGAUACAGAGCGGUUUGGUGUGUAUCUUGAGAAAGUGCAAACUGGGAAGGCUAAGAUUGCAGCUGGUGCAUUACUUCCCCAUGAGAUUAUAGCUUCAUUGAAUGAGGAGGAUGGCGAGAAAGUUGCAGAGCUUCAGUGGGCGAGAAUGGUGGAAGAUUUAUCAAAGAAUGGGAGGCUCACAAAUUGCAGUGCGGUAUGUGACGUAUCAGGAAGUAUGAGUGGAACUCCAAUGAAGGUGUGUGUGGCUCUGGGGCUGUUAGUUUCAGAGCUCAGUGAAGAUCCAUGGAAAGGUAAUGUAAUUACUUUCAGUGCAAGUCCUGAGCUUCACAAGAUCCAAGGAGACAGCCUUGUAUCCAAGACUGAAUUUGUGAGGAUGAUGGAAUGGGGUGCGAACACUGAUUUUCAGAAAGUUUUUGACAGAAUCUUACAAGUAGCAGUGGAGGGAAAUCUGAGUGAAGAUCAAAUGAUAAAGAGGGUUUUCGUUUUCACUGAUAUGGAGUUUGAUGAAGCUUGUGGGAGGUAUAACUAUUGUGAAUAUGACUAUGAUAUGGAGGAAAUUGAUGAGAGUCAGAAGGCAUCUCAGAAGUGGGAGACAGAUUAUGAAGUGAUACAGCGGAAAUUCCAGGACAAAGGAUAUGGAAAAGUUCCGGAGAUAGUGUUUUGGAACCUUAGAAACUCAUCAGAGACUCCAGUGAUGGCCACAGAGAACGGGGUGGCCUUAGUAAGCGGGUUUUCGAAGAAUCUGUUAGACCUUGUUUUUGGAAGGAGGUGGAAUUCUGACCCCUCAGGAUGUGAUGGAAUUAGCCAUCUCUGGUGAAGAUUACAAGAAACUUGUUCUAUUUGAUUAAGAUAUCAAGAGAUUUAUCAAUAAUAAUAUGUUUUUUUUUUUCUAUGUGAAAUACAUGUAAUAUUAACUAUGGAGUUAUCAAAGUUCUGGAAAUUUAAUUAUUUCUUCUUUUCAAGUUUUGUUUGUCUUUGUUAGGAAUUCCCCUUGGGCGGACCCAGCUGGGGACUUGGAUUGAGGAAGUAAGGAGGCGAAAUUGUGUUCUUCUAUGGACAGAGAAAAAAGAUAAAAAUAAAAAAUAAAAAAGGAGGUUAUUUGCAUUUGGAUGUCAUGUGGUUUCAGGGUACAACUACAAGUUCGAAAUUGUACAUAAUGUGAAAAUUCCUGUGUGGAGAACAGCAUAAAUAUGUAUCUCAGUGUGUUUUGUUUGAGCUAAUUGGCAAAUUCGCUUUAAACAUGGUCACAUGGAUGCAUAUUUAUUUGUGAAAUGAUAGUAGUCGAUUACUUGGUCAGUAAGGUUUGUAUCUCUAACUCCAACAUCUUAUUGUAGUCUUUUAAAAUGUCAAAAGUUUAAUGCUAGCUUGAGAAAUUUUGGAAUGGAGACAUUCUAAACAAAGUUAAUAAUCCAUGAGACUUGGUAAAACCGAUCAGAUGAUGCUUACGUACAUGAAUGCCUUCUUUAAGCCGUAUCCUAUUUUCAUUGAAUGAGACGUGCCAUCUAGUUUUGUUCUUGUCUUGAUUGGAUCAUGAUCCCGGGAAUUGAUUACUGUUCUGAAUUUGCGAAUGUUCAAGGUAUUAGAGAAAGUUAAUAUUAUCGUUAAUUUACAUAUUAGUAUUUAUCUAGUUAUUAUAUAUUAGUUUGAAUUAUAAUAUAAUAUAGAAUUUGAAUCAAGUUUACUAUUAGUUUGAAUUACAAUAGGAAAUAAAGUUUGAAUUAUAGUAUAACUCAAAUAUAUUUGUAUAUAAAUAUCCAUCUUUAUCAAUGAGAAUAGUAAACCAUAUUUUUCUCUAUCUUCUUCUUUCUCUAUAUAUAUGGUAUCAAAGCCUCCAAAUCCUAAACCUAGUCUCAACUUAGAGCAAAUUUAGGGUGCAGGGUUUAGGCCCCGCCUCCCCCAACCCUUACCACAAAUGGUAGUGACCUUGUUAUGCCUAUGUAUUGUCAAUGCCUCAUUUUCUAUGGUCUUCAAUACAAUAUCUAGUUUCAAUGUCUCUUUCCUUACUAUCUCCAAUGCAAUAUAUUGAUUUCAAUAUCUCUUUACAACCAAGAGCUCCAAAUUUUCCUGGUUCAAAUCUACCAUAAUUUUUAUUCUCCUUUGCUUUUUACCAAUAUUAGUUCCCCUAAUUUAAUAUAUAUCUCUUUAUUACCUUCAACUCUACCUCUCUCUUUCUUUAAAAGCUUCCUCAAAGAUUUGAUUGCUUUCUUGCAUGUUUUGGGAAAACAAACAUGCUCAUAUUCUAUUACCUCUACUUGAGAUCUGCCUUAUACUCUACCUUCUUCUUUACCUCCUAUAUCAUCUACUACAUUAGCUUCAAAAACAUUAUUUAGUUUGAUGCUAAAUAAGGCUCCUAAUCCUACCCUUCCUUCAACUAACUUUCUUUUACAAGUCCCUCAAAGUUUUUUUUUUUUUUUUUUUGGAAAUUUGGCUUAGAAAGAUUUCAUUACUCUUACCUAAUCUUUCAACCAUCAAGUCGAAUCCACUUAUCUCUUGAAUCCAAGGAGACUACCCUCCACAAAAACAAGGAGAUUGACCCCCACAAUAACAAAGAGAUUGUCCUCCAUAGAAACAAAGAGAGCUUCCUUCAUGGAAGCCGAAUACAUCGCAAUCUAUUUUCUUUCUCUCAAGAUCAAAUCUCCAAUCGGAGCUCCAUCUUGUGGGGAUAUAUUAGAAAAAGUUAAUAUUAUCCUUAAUUUACAUAUUAGUAUUUAUCUAUAUUAUAUAUUGAAUUAGAAUAGAAUAUAGAAUUUGAAUUAAGUUUACUAUUAGUUUAAAUUACAAUAGGAAAUAGAGUUUGAAUUAUAGUAGAACUCAAAUAUAUUUAUAUAUAAAUAUCCAUCAUUAUCAAUGAGAAUAGUAUUCCAUAUUUUUCUCUUUCCCUGAGGCUUCAGAAUGUGAUCUUGAACAUUUGAUCUUUUGGAUUCUUCUUGUUUCGGUGGUUUAAUAUAAUGGAAUGUUUAAUUAUAGCCUACUUUAUCACCAUGGAUGUGCUCCUGCAGAUUUCUUGAGGGUGAUGGUUAUUUUGUCAUGUUUCUUGAAUGGUUUGCAUCAGCUGCCUGAGCUGUUGUUGCUGGUCACUUUUGCAACCAGGGAAAGAAUCAUGGCUUUGGAGAAGCCAGCUUCUGUUUUUGUUGCCCAGCUGUUAGUUCACUAAGAUUGGGGGUCCUAACAUGUAUGUAUAAUCAUAAGCAAGGAAAUUUUAUGUCUUACGCUAGAUAGGUACCAUGAUAUGAUGUUUGAUUGAUUUAUUAACUCUACCUGUUUCAAAAGGCAUCAACAUUAAUUUUACCCUUUUAACACAUUGGAUUGUUUGACCUUACGAGAUUUUCUAUUUCUGUACUAUUUGAACUGCAAUCGUUAUGGUCCUUAGGUCUCUAAACCUUCGUUUAAAAUAAAAGUAAGGAGCACACAUAGUAAAAGUUAAUUUUGGGUAACUUUUAAAACAAAGAGAAAAGUAAAAGUUGUUUUUGAGAAAAACAUAUAGAAAUUGAAAGAUUUUUUAUUUUGAGAAAAAAAAGUCAUAGAAAAGAAAUAAUAUCCCCAUAUAAGUAGAUAUGAUCUAUCCGAAGUGUAGCUACUCUCCUGGAUUUAUUCUAACAUUUUAAAAUUUUUCUCAAUGGGCAAAGGAAUAUCAAAUCAAGCUUGAGUAGGAUUAAUUUCUUAAUUUUUAAAAUAACUUAUAAUUAAAAUUUUUUGGUGUUUUCUUUUUUGGACAAUUUUUUAUGAAGACUCUGAAUCAUGCAAGAGAUAUGGUUAUUUUAAAAAAAAAAAUAAUUUAAAACUCAAAUACAUAAUCAAUGUCACAAAUUUAUAAACAAAAGGUUUUUAAAAAAUACUAUUAUUUCCCCUCUACACAUAAUUUUACUUUUCCGAUUUAUUUAUUUUUGUUGGAAAACAGUCUUCAAAUCAAGUAAAAUUAAUAUGUUAAAUUUGUUAAACAAAUAAAUUUUAAAAUACAAUUUGGAACUCAAAAAUCAAUUCAAGUAAUGCUAAAAUUCAAAAAAUCAAAUUUGGAAUAAAAUGACUUUGUAAAUUUUUUUACUAAACAAAUGAAUUUUAAAUCAAGUGAGAUUUAAUACAUUGGAUUUUUAUGAGAAUAGUAAUUUUAAAAAUUAAUUUGGAACUCAAAAAUAGACACAAUAAAUACCAAAAAUCAAUGAACCAAAAUUGGUUUGGAAUAACUCCAUAAUUUUUUAUUUAUUUAUAUAUUUAUUUUUUUGUGCACACGAAUUUCUUACUAAGCAUAUUGCUUCCAAAUUGAGAAAAAUUUACUAUUUAGAUUUUUUUAAUGAGUUUAAUGGUAUUUAAAAAUAAUUCAAAAAUUCGAAAAUUGACUAAUUUAAUAUUAUAAAUUCAUAAACCAAGACUAAUUCAAAAUGCAUUGGGGGCUAAGGGGGUUGAAAUUAAUGCUCCAUUUGGUUGUGGCCACCAAUUGGCAAUGGCCACCAAUCAACCAAUCAAGGUGGCUAAGGGGGUUGAAAAUAGGGACAAUGGGGUGGGUUUGGGACAGGACACUCAUAUCCCAUUCCCAUCCCAAUUACACAGUUAUUUCCCAUCCUUAUUCCAAACUUGUGUUGGGGCAAGUUGAUUUGUUCCCAUCUUUGUUAACGAAAUGACUAAUAACCUCAUCCUCUCCUUGUCUUAGAUGUACAUUUUCUCAAAUUUGGUCAGGUAUGAUUGAUUCAAGCCCUAACCUUAAUUGGUAAUGAGUGGAUACCACACCUAAUUGCAUUCUUCUUUCGUUGCAAAAUAAUGAGAUUAUAAUAAUCUAGCAAAUAAGAAAAAAUAGUAUGGAAGUUCAAAUUAACACCAUAACUAUCAAUAAUUUUAAGCUUAUAGAUGACUUAAAUGAUUGAAAACUAAUGCAAAAUACUAAAAAAAAAAAAAAUCAUCUAAAGAAUUCACAAGAGAAUAGAACGAACAAAACCAAAUAGGAACAUGGGUCAACAUUAGUUACAGAUUUUGAUCCCUUUCAAGGCCAAUCUUUGAACCAAGACUUCAUCAAAUCUACUACUUCAAAGGCUUUUGUGUUCUUCUUGAGUUGUACUCUGGAACAAAGACUUCGAGGUGAUGCUUUAGAUGAUUGCAUUACACAUAUUUAGGGUAGGGAGAUUGGAGAAGCUUGAAGAUGCCAACGAUGGGUACAAUUGAGUGGUCAAUAAGAACAAUGUGGCCUAUGACUAGUUUGAUGUCAUGGUAUAGGAGUUUUGGGCAUUGAGGUGAAAGCAAGAGCAACAUGGAAUUGAUUUCAAAGUCUUUCAAUUAGUGUAAAGGAGGAAGAAGAAGUGGUAUUGAUCCUAGAAAUAGUGUUUUAGGUGUUGCAUUAGAGGAAAAGAAAAAGAAAAAGAAGGAACCAUUGGAAUUAGUACGAGUGUGAAGAGAGAAGUGUAUACAUAAGGGGAAGUAAAAGCAAAGUUCUAAAAAUUUAUUUUUUUAUUGGUGGUGUAUGGUUGCAUGAUUAUCCCUAUAAAUAAUAGGAGUUUUUUGGUGUUCUACUAGUAGUUGAAGGAUAAUUUCAUAAGAUAAUAUUUAGAGCGGGGUGGGGUGAGUUGUGACAAAAUCCAUACCCGUCCCAAACAUUGGUUCAGGUUUUUAAAAUAUUUUCAAACUUAUCAUAUACCCAAUUUUAUAUUUCAUACUUGUCCUAAUAGAGACAGGUUAGUCAGGGUUACUUGAGUAGCCUACAAAACUAUCAUCCCUAGUUGAAAUGCUCUUUUUGGCAGUGGCAGCUAGAAGCUCGAUCGAUUGACCUACAAGACUAGUUGUCAUCAUUUUAAAAAGAGUUUUGGCUUUGGUUGUGAGUGCAAUUGAAUCUAAACUAACAUUUCCUUAAUGCAUCUACUUCAAUCCUAAACUUCUUACUUAAGCCUCAAUUGUUGUUAAGAUUUUGGAAAACCCAUUUCCUUAAAUUGUAAAUUUAAGAAAAAAAAAAUUAAAAGUGAGACAUUUCUUGAUUGAAUGUUGUUAAAGGUCCCUUGGAAUUAAGACUUGGUUGAAGCCUUGGAAGAUUAGCAGAACUCUCAACU